RNAcentral lists this long non-coding RNA (68677 nucleotides) under Malus domestica (apple). RNAcentral's name for it is "long non-coding RNA (MDOM_LNC010067)". Lineage: Eukaryota; Viridiplantae; Streptophyta; Magnoliopsida; Rosales; Rosaceae. The record is from RNAcentral.
GGAAUGCGACGGAUAGGCUGGCGCUGCUUGCCAUCAAAGCUCAAAUAAAGCAAGAUCUCCAUAAUUACAACGUGAUGAGCUCCUGGAACGAAUCCACGCACUUUUGCAUGUGGCAUGGUGUGACGUGCAGUCGACGACAUCGCCAAAGGGUCACUAACCUGGACCUGCAAUCUCAAAAUCUGGUAGGGAACCUAUCCCCAAACAUUGGAAAUCUAAGUUUUUUAAGGGAGCUGUGGCUGCGAAAUAACAGCUUCAGUCAUGAAAUUCCUCCACAAAUUGGGAAUUUGCGUAGAUUGCAUGUAUUGCGAUUAGAUGUUAACUCGUUUAGUGGUAGUAUUCCACACAAUAUAUCACAUUGCUUCAACCUUAUCCUUGUGAAUUUCACUCGCAACAAGUUGGUGGGUAAAAUUCCUUCAGAAUUUGGAUUGCUAUCGAAGCUGCAACAUUUUUCAUCAAAUGUUAAUAAUGUAACGGGACAGGUCCCUCUUUCCUUGGGCAACCUUUCGUCUCUCCAGAGACUAAGUCUUGUUAGUAAUAACUUGAUGGGAAACAUCCCCAGUUCUCUUGGCCAAUUGAAAAAAUUAACCUUCUUGGCAUUGGGGUUAAAUCAGUUGUCUGGUAGCAUCCCUUCCUCCAUUUAUAACCUUUCUUCUCUUGUUACAUUUUUCAUAGGAGGUAACCAAAUUCAAGGGAGUAUUCCAUCAGAUAUUGGCAAAAGUCUUCCUAAUCUCGGAGUCUUCGACGUCGGCUCAAACCAAUUUACCGGGUCCAUUCCUCCCUCAAUAUCCAAUAUCACAAGUGUUUGGUCAUUUGAAGUUGGGCCAAACAACCUAAUCGGACAGGUACCGAAUCUCCAAAAGCUUCACAACCUCCUGUAUUUCAACAUUCAAUUUAAUAAUAUUGGAAGCGGUAAAGAUGGUGACUUAAGUUUUCUCUCGGACUUGGCCAAUGCCACCAAGUUAGAAUGGUUGGUUAUUAGCGACAACAAUUUUGGAGGGACAUUGCCCAUGUCAAUAUCCAAUCUCUCAACCAAACUUGAAAUGUUUUGGGUUGGCAGUAACCAAAUAUAUGGAAGCAUCCCAUCUGGGAUAGGGAAUCUGGUGAGCUUGCAAUCGUUGCCCUUCGGGAUUAAUAGCUUCACAGGUAACAUUCCCUCUGACAUCGGCAAGCUUUCAAACCUUGAAGCAUUACAAAUUUCCAUGAACAAAUUAUCUGGAAAUAUUCCGUCUUCCGUAAGAAAUUUAACCAAGUUAUACUAUCUUGCGCUGGAUGGAAAUCAUCUUGAGGGCAGCAUUCCUUCAGGUCUGGGGGAAUGCCAUGGGUUGCAAUUGUUGAAUCUUUCUUAUAACCUCCUAAAUGGCACAAUACCAAAACAAGUUUUUAGACUCUCCUCCUUAUCGAUUUCUUUGGACUUGUCUAAUAACCUCUUCACAGGUUCCCUUCCCCCGGAGGUUGGGAAUUUCCAGAGUCUAAGUGAACUUUAUCUUUCUGAUAACAUGUUAUCUGGAGAACUCCCCAGUAGCCUUGGUGGUUGUGAGAGUUUAGAAGUCCUGCAUUUGCAAGGAAACUUUUUCAACGGGUCCAUUCCUUUGUCUAUGAGUUCAGUGAGAGCAAUUCGAGAUCUAGACCUUUCUCGCAAUAAUUUUUCAGGGGAAAUUCCACAUUUUUUAGAAGGUUUUAGAUUCUUGAAUAAUCUGAACUUAUCAUUCAAUCAAUUUUGGGGAGUGGUACCAACUGGAGGUGUUUUCAAAAAUGCGAGUGCUAUUUCAGUUGUUGGCAAUACUAAUCUGUGCAGCCCUGUUGAUAAUUUAAAGCUUCCCAAGUGCAAGUCUAAAGAGACCAAGAAACGAAGAUUGUCUCGUAGCUUGAAACUAAUACUCCCUUUAGUAUUUGGACUUACUCUUCUAGGAAUAGCCAUGGUGUUCUUCUAUUUCUUUCUUUGUUCGUCAAGGAAGAAAAAGAAAGAAAUUUCAUUGAGCACUUUGGGGAACACUAUUUUGCAAGUGUCAUAUGCUACUCUACUCAAAGCUACUGACGGGUUCUCAAAGGCUAAUUUAAUUGGUGCUGGUAGUUUUGGGUAUGUGUACAAAGGAGUUCUUGAUGAGGAUGAUAAAUCUCAACUUGUUGCCGUGAAGGUGUUUAACUUGUUACGCCAUGGAGCUUCGAGGAGUUUCAUAGCCGAAUGUGAAGCUUUGAGAAAUAUUAGGCACCGAAAUCUUGUCAAGAUUAUAACCGUGUGUUCAAGUGUUGAUUUUCAUGGUAAUGAUUUCAAGGCUCUAGUUUAUGAGUUCAUGAACAACGGGAGCUUAGAAGAGUGGCUGCGUCCACCUACUGGAACUGAAGAGUUAAGAGAUCAUAUACCCAAGAAGUUAAGUCUUCUUCAUAGGCUAGAAAUUGCCAUUGGUGUUGCUUGUGCACUGGAUUAUCUUCAUAAUCAUUGUGAAACGCCAAUAGUUCAUUGUGAUCUCAAGCCAAGCAACGUUCUCUUGGACAACGAAUUGACUGGCCAUGUUUCUGACUUUGGAUUAGCAAGGUUUCUCUCACAAGUAACGAGUAAUGUUUCAGCAAUUCAGAGUCAGACAAGUUCCGUUGGAAUAAAAGGAACGGUUGGUUAUGCAGCUCCAGGUAUACAUAUGUUAGAUAUAUACUUCAUUAUAUUUCCUUUUUUAUUUUGUAGUAUUUAAUUUACAAAAUUCAAACUGAACUUUUUAUACACAAAUGUGAUGUUUGAAUUGUAGAGUAUGGCAUGGGGAGUGAGGUGUCAACGAACGGUGAUGUCUACAGCUUUGGCAUUCUCUUGUUGGAGAUGUUUACAGGGAAGAGACCCACUGACAACAUGUUUGGUGAUAGCUUGAACCUUCAUAACUUUGUCAAGAUGGCUCUCCCCGAGCGAGUUAUUGAGAUUGCAGAUGCACCACUUCUUGAAGGAGGCACGAACGACAAUCCCAAUCAAUGCAGUGCAAGAAUUCAUAAAGUUGAGGUGUGCUUGAGUUCAAUAUUUAGAAUUGGAAUUGAUUGUUCUGCUGAAUCCCCAACAGAUCGACUAAAGAAUAUCAAUGAUGCUGCAUCUGAACUUCAUUCAAUUAGGAAUACUUUUCUUGGGUAGAAACUCUUUUUUAUGUGCUUUUGUAAUAAGAGAAAUUUCGUUUACUGCCUAUGAAGUCUAGCUUUUACGUUACCGCAGUAGAUGUGGAAGUUUGCAAUGUAAAUAAUCACCAAUGAGGUUUGUUGUGUGAAGAUUGUAUUCCUACUUUUUGUACUUGGUAUUUUUGUGUAAUAUUCUCAUCAAUUAAAGUCUAGUUCGUGCCACAAAAUUGUUGAAUAUUCACAUUGACAGAUUCCAAAUUUUUGAAAGAUUCAUAACCUGAAGAGCCUCAACAUUCACAAAAUUAUCUUGAAAGCUGUAAAGAUGGUGAGUUGAGUUUCCUAUCAGACUUGACCACCAUCAAUGUAAUGUGUUUUCGAAAAUGAAAGUGCUAUUUCAAUUGUUGACAACACUAGAUUAUGCACGGCAAUUCCUAAUCUCAAGUUGCCCAAUUGCAAGUCUAAAGAGCUCCAAGAAAAGAAGAUUAGCUUAUUGCUUGAAAUUAAUAAUCCCUUUCUCAAAGGCCACUGAUCGGUUUUCUUCAGCUAAUUUGACAAUAAAGCUCGGCUUGUACUUGUAGCUAUGAAGGUGUUUAACAUGUUACGUCAUGGAGCAUCAAAGAGUUUCAUAGCCGAAUAUGAGGCUUUGAGAAAUAUCAAGCAUCAAAAUUCGUCAAGGUCAUAUCUGCAUGUUUUCUCGAUGAUGAUUUCAAGGCUCUAGUUUAUGAGUUGAUGCACCAAAGGAGUUUAGAGGAGUGGUUGCAUGAUUUGCAUCCACCUCCUGUAAUUGAAGAGGUAAGAGAUCAAUACAACCAAGAAUUAAUAUCUUCUUCAAAGGCUACAUAUUGUUAUUGGUGUUGCUAUUGUGCAUUGGAUUAUUUUCAUAACCAUAGCGAAUGGUCAUUUUUUGUAGAAUUUUAACCCCAUUUUAAAGCCCAUGGGCUAUGAAAAAUCAAGGUUGUCUAGCAUUGUUGCUAUAAUUAUUCGCCCAUGUGCAUUCUGAAUUCAAAUCCAAUAGUUUUAGUAGUCGUUCUAUCAAUCUUGACAAUAAAAGAGUAUUUAUUUUAUUUUUUCAAACAAAUAGUAUUAUUUCCACUAAGGGGAAGGGGAUAGGCUUAGCCUCACAAUGAUGUAGUUCAAAUUCGUAUUUGGCAAUAAUCGAACAUAAAAUUUAUCAGUUACAAGUUAAGAAAAUACCAUUAGACCGUAGUACUAAGUGGCAUAAAAGAGUUUCUAUUAAACCAGUAAAAUGAAAAUUCUCAACCAUUCAUUAAUGGAUUUGAAUUUAGAUUUAUUACAAUUGAUAGAUACUUUUUUUGGGCAAUCAAUAGGAUACUAACAAAUUUGUUUUUAGAACAAAGAUAUGUCACGAUAAUGUGACUUAAAGCUGUGUCAUUGGCCUUUUCACUUAUUGCCCUAUCUUUAACGCACUCCAAUUAAUAUCGUCCACUAAUAUUAGUAUUUAAUGAAUCUCAUCAUAAAUUGUUACCCAAAAUAUUAAUUAUCAAAGCAAAUAAACUUGAUUGAGUUUUAAAUUUUUCGUGACUAACUCCCAAAUAAUUCUCGUUACCAAGCAAAUUAAAUACCUUUAAUUAAAAGCUUAAAAACUUUUUAAUUAUUACCUCUCUAUUUUGCUUUUGCAAUCACGAGCGUACAAUAUUAUAGGAAUAUUUUUGUUCUUCACACUCAAAUGAUGGUAAUGCUCACUACCUUAUUUAUCACCAUUAUAUGAGUUUAAUAUCUUGGAUAGACAAUUAUCAAAAUUUAAACUCAUCCAACGGUAAUAAAUAAGGUGGUAAGCAUUACCACCACUUGAGGAUGUUGAAUAAAAAUCGCCCCAAUAAUAUUAGUUAAGUUAGUUGGUGUGGUAAUUGGUCUUUAGCAAGCUUCUUAUAGAAAAAAGAAGAAUCUGAGUACUUUGGCUGUUUUGCAGAAGAAAAAGAAAGAAAGGGGCAUUUGAUGUUUGGACAGAUAUUAUGGCUGUUUGGAUGAAAUUAUUUAUUAUGGCUGUCUAUGACAAUGAGAAAUUUGAUUCUUCUAGUUGUAGCUAGUCCCGUUUUCUAUGUUUAUUUGCUUUCUUAUAUGAUGGAAUGGCGUUUUACCAUGAGAUUGAAUGGUUUUUUAUUUGGUUCUUUGUUUAGUUUGAACUAGAAAAAUUGCCCACGCGCUGCUGUGGGUUUUGAAACCAUAAUGCAGAACAUACUACGAAUAUUUUCGACAGAAAAAGACACAAAUUAUUUAGAUUCAGUUCACUUCACAUCAACAUAGUGUGCAUAAUGAAGAGAGCGUAUAUUUGAAAGUUUGAAUUAAUGAAACAUAAAAAAAGGUCGUACCCAGUGCACAAGGCUCCCGCUUUACGCAGGGUUUGAGAGAGGUAAAUGUCGGCUAGCCUUACCCCCAUUUAUAGAGAGGCUGCUCCCAAGUCUCGAACCCGAGACCUACCGCUCAUGGGCGAAGGCACUUGCCAUCGCACCAAGUGCAACCUCUUUGAAUUAAUGAAACAUGCAACAACGAAAUAUAAUGUUUUUUAUCCCCCCCCCCCCCCCCAGUCCUAUAAAAAGAAGCAUAAAUGGAAAGGAUGGUUCCCAAACUUUGUUUCAAUUUAAGUUUUAUGGCUUUCCUACUCUGCCCUACAUCACAGAACAAAAAGAAGGUUACCUAAGAAUUCAUGCAUUCAUCUUCUAAACAUGCAACAGAAAAGCACUCAUGCAUAAUAAAGGGUACAUUGACAUUAAAUAGAUCAACUUAAGUGCUAACAGCCAAUCAACAAAUUGAACAUAAUUGAAGUUUUAGUAGAAUGAGUUAACAAAAAGGAAGCUUGGUUUCCGCAUGAAAGAAAAGAUCCGCUUGAAAUGGUAGUCAUUCAAGAUGUUUUCUGGUAUUUAUGCGAAUUCGGAAAUGCUAUAAAUGUAAAAGUUACCUCAAAAGCCUUUUCUGCGUUGGUUUCUGUAAUCACUCCUACUGCAGCAUUUGCAGUCAGUAUCAUGAGAAUAACAUGUGUCUAAGACCAAGUUGUAUCCCACGUGCUUAAUCAACAACAAACAUAGAAAACAGUUAUCAUAUAUCAUAAAAUUCCAAGUCUUAACUUGUAAAGUUUCAAGUGCUCAACAAAUUUUGAACAAUGUAUGGUUCAAAACUUAAAAAAAAAAAAGACAUGCAUCAAAGACUUUAGGGAGAAAAAAUAUGCAUUGGCUGAAAUAGAUAAUUAGGAUUUUAAAUGUUAAAAUUUUCUUUUUGGCUCACUAAUUAGUGCAAAAGUGAGAUUGUAUGAACAAUUUUACACCCGGAAACAUGAACUAUACAUAAUCACAACUAAUCUAACAAUGAGAAAGUAUAUAAGACAAAACACUAACAGAAGGCUAAAACACUCUUUUAUUUGAUCUAACAAUAGGGUAAUAGGAUUAACUAAAUCAUUAGAGACUGCAACAAUGAGAAAGUCUGAAGAUUAAAGUUCUUGUUGAAUACCUUGAAAAACAUUUUCAGUAAAUCCGUUCAGGAAAAUAUAGAAACUUAAGAUUCUAUGCAAUUCCAUCAUCCGGGAUAGCACAUAUUUACUUGGAAUCCAACCUUAAGCCAACAUUUUUCUAUCUAUAGCAUCCAUCAUACCUAAGACAUUUCUCAGUAGGGGCACAUGAACAAUCAUAAUUGAGAUUUCAUAAGUUUAUUUUUUUGUUAACUAUAGUGAAAUUUAUAAAACAAUUUUAGCAAAACUCGAGUGUAGAUAAUGGACUUUUGUUCCAGUUUAAAAAAUAUUGACUUGUGUUCUAAGCAACAUAAUGCAUUCACAUUUCAAUUGUCAAAAGGCAUCACAGUAAUCCCCAACAACAACAACAAAGCUUUUUCCUACUAAGUGGGGUCGGCUAUAUGAAUCCUAGAACGCCAUUGCGCUCGGUUUUGUGUCAUGUCCUCCAUUAGAUCCAAGUACUCUAAGUCUUUUCUUAGGGUCUCUUCCAGAGUUUUCCUAGGUCUUCCUCUACCCCUUCGGCCCUGAACCUCUGUCCCGUAGUCACAUCUUCGAACCGGAGCGUCAGUAGGCCUUCUUUGCACAUGUCCAAACCACCAUAACCGAUUUUCUCUCAUCUUUCCUUCAAUUUCGACUACACCUACUUUACCUCGGAUAUCCUCAUUCAUAAUCUUAUCCUUUCUCGUGUGCCCACACAUCCAACGAAGCAUCCUCAUCUCCGCUACACCCAUUUUGUGUACGUGUUGAUGCUUCACCGCCCAACAUUUUGUGCCAUACAGCAUCGCCGGCCUUAUUGUCGUCCUAUAAAAUUUUCCCUUGAGCUUCAGUGGCCUACGACGGUCACACAACACGCCGGAUGCACUCUUCCACUUCAUCCAUCCAGCUUGUAUUCUGUGGUUGAGAUCUCCAUCUAAUUCUUCGUUCUUUUGCAAGAUAGAUCCUAGGUAGCGAAAACGGUCGCUCUUUGGUAUUUCCUGAUCUUCGAUCCUCACCCCUAACUCAUUUUGGCCUCCAUUUGCCCUGAACUUGCACUCCAUAUAUUCUGUCUUUGAUCGGCUUAGGCGAAGACCUUUAGAUUCCAACACUUCUUUCCAAAGGUUAAGCUUCGCAUUUACCCCUUCCUGAGUUUCAUCUAUCAACAUUAUAUUGUUUGCGAAAAGCAUACACCAAGGAAUAUCAUCUUGAAUAUGUCCUGUUAACUCAUCCAUUACCAACGCAAAAAGGUAAAGACUUAAGGAUUGUUAAUGCACAAAAUCAAUGAGGACUUUGAUACAACAGAAAGUAUUAAGCUUGUGAUCUUCGCUAGAUUGCUCCGGUCAUUAGUGUGGAUAAAUAUGUAAAUGGAUAGAAACAGGAAAGCAAACACAAGAUGUACGUGGUUCACCCAGAUUGGCUACGUCCACGGAGUAGAGGAGUUCUCAUUAUUUUUGAAGGGUUUACACAAGUACAUAGGUUCAAGCUCUCCUUUAGUGAGUACAAGUGAAUGAUUUAGUACAAAUGACAUUAGGAAAUAUUGUGGGAGAAUAAUCUCGUAAUCACGAAACUUCUAAGUACUGAAGUGUGGUAUCGUCUUCACUUGCCUUAUCUGUCUCAUAGGUAGAUGUGGCAUCUUCUCUGGAAGUACUCUUCCUCCAUCCAGUGGUGAUAUCUUUAACUGGUGGAGAUGCACAAGGUAAUGUAUCAAUUUCACUUGAAGCUUACUUGUAGUUUCGGGCUUGGUCAAGUGUGAUACAAACCAUAUAGUAGGAGUCCCCCAAGUCGCCGAGCUAGGAGGAUCUGCCGAAAGAGGUGACAGACAAGGUAAGCAAUCAGACUUCCAAGCAAGCAGUCCCAGGAUCAGAAGUUUGAUUUCGGCUUCCGGUUGAUUGUUCUCAUUCUCCUUAUCUUGCAUUCAAGCAUGCCAGGAUAAAGAGAAGAAAAAUGGAGAAGAGAUGAUAUGAGAUACUUUUGCUUUUGAAGAAGUAACUUUCCACAGGCUUAUUCUUGAACUGGGCUGGAGGGUUUUCUGGUUUCCUUCAGAGUAUAAGGCCGACUGAAAAAUUUGAGGGUCAAAACAAGUCCAUCAAAUCUAGAGUACGUUCGACCCUGAUGAUAUGGGAUACUUUUGCUGUUGACAAAGUAUGUGGUAUGUAUCGGCACGUGUUUCUGUUACGCUUGUCUCCACAUGCUUCCUUGUAUCCUUCUCACUUGCCCUAUCUGUUCCUCAGGCAGAUGUAAAGGCCAAUAUCUUCUCUGGAAGCAUGAAGAUGUUGAAGAUGAGUACUCGAGAGCAAUGCUAAGGUAAGCAAUCAGGUAAGGGGUUCCAGGCAGUCAGUUCCUGAUUGGAAGUUUGAUUUCAGGUUCCUGACUGAUUGCUCUCUUUUUCUCCUUGUCCUUGCAGGUAAGUGGAACAAGGACAAAGGAAAAGACAGGGAAAAGCAUGAUAUGGGAUACUCUUGCUUUUAACCCUGAUGAUAUGAGAUAUUCUUGUUCUUGGUGUGGCUUGUUUGCUGAGGUAUUAUCGGGGGGAAAUAAAGCUGAGUAUUUCGAGAGGUUACUUCGUUGAGGAGUGCCUUUCUCAGAUAUGAGGAAAGGGUUGAGCAUUUUUGCAGGUUUGCCUGUCCGUUGAGGAGGGAGGUCGACAUGUAUAUAGGAGUCUCCCUAAUAACAAGUAGUAAUGCUAUUCCUUUACCCUUCUUGGUCACAGCAAUGUAGUGGGAGCUGCCAGCUUCACGUGUUUUUAAUUUUGUCAGAGCACUUUGAAAAAGUGGUAUGUGGUAUCUGGAAAGCUGAUGUUACGUGUGAAGAUUACAGACAAGCUUUAUCUAAGGAAAUCUGGCUCUCGAAGUUCUGAGAAAGUUGUGCCUCUUCGGUUUUCGAACAAGCAAUCCCUGUCGGGGAUCUGACUCUCGAGAUUCAGAGAAUAGUGCCUCUUCGAUUUUUUAGAAAGCAAUCCUGCUGGGAGUCUGGCUCUUGAGAUUCGGAGAGCGGUGUCUCGUCGAUUUUUGAGAAAGUAAUCAUGUUGGGAGUCUGGCUCUUAAAAUUCGGAAGGCGGUGCCUCUUCGACUUUGAAGCAAGCAAUCUUGUUGGGAGUGUUUUCUCGAAUGUGAGUAAAGGUUGGGCAUGUUUGCUAGUCUACCUUGCCACAAGAGCACGGAGGUUGACACACAUAGGGACUUUCCAAUUGUCAAGCAGUGGUGCUGUUCCUUUACCCUUGUGGGUAAUAAUAUGGUAGCUAGACCUUCAAAAUUUAUGCGUCUAAACUUUGUUAGUGUUGUUUCUUUGCUAUUCUUUUACCCUUCUUGGUCAUAGCGAUGUAGUGGGAGCUGCAAGCUUCACGUGUCUAAACUUUGUCAGAGAUCUUUGACAAAGUUAUAUGUGGUACCCGAGGAGUUGAUGGUGCAUAUGGAAAGUGGUGAUUGAACAGUAAGAUUCACGUGCUUUCUACUUCACCAGAAAUCUUCGACAGAUUGCCCGUAAUUUCCGCAAAGCUGAGUGUGCAUGUGACAGGUGCUGACGAGGCUGAAAAAGCAGGUGCUUCUUCGAUUUCUGAGAUCGGCCCUCGUGGUCUCUGAGCAGCCCAGCUUUUGAGAAAGCAAGCGCCUCUUCGAUUUCUGAGAUCGGCCUUCGUGGUCUUUGAGCAGCCCAGCUUUUGAGAAAGCAAACGCCUCUUCGAUUUCUGAGAUCGGCCCUCGUGGUCUCUGAGCAGCCCAGCUUUUGAGAAAGCAAACGCCUCUUUCGAUUUCUGAAGCUCCGUCGAGUGCAGAUUUUUUAUAGAGGCUGGCAUUAAGUUCCAAAGCACACUUGAAUCUCUACCAGUAGAAGCUCCAUUUCUUGCACUUCUAAGAUCUUGAUUUGUCUGACCUCUUCUCUUCUUCAACACAUUUGAAAAUGUCUGGACCCUCCGACCGUCGUUUUGACUUGAACCUUGGAGAAGAGGACAGCCACGCCUUCUCCAGACAACAUAUGGCGCCCAUCCUUCAUAUCCCCUACUGGUCCUCUUACCGUUGGGGAUUCUGUGAUGAAGAAUGAUAUGACCGCUGCAGUGGUGGCCAGGAACCUUCUCACUCCCAAAGAUAACAGACUACUUUCCAAACGGUCUGAUGAGUUGGCUGUUAAGGACUCUCUGGCUCUUAGUGUUCAGUGUGCAGGUUCUGUGUCUAAUAUGGCCCAACGCCUAUUUGCUAGAACCCGCCAAGUUGAAUCAUUGGCUGCUGAAGUGAUGAGUCUCAAACAGGAGAUUAGAGGGCUCAAGCAUGAGAAUAAGCAGUUGCACCGGCUCGCCCAUGACUAUGCUACAAACAUGAAGAGGAAGCUUGACCAGAUGAAGGAAUCUGAUGGUAAGGUUUUACUUGAUCAUCAGCGGUUUGUGGGUUUGUUCCAAAGGCAUUUAUUGCCUUCGUCCUCUGGGGCUGUACCUGGUAAUGAAGCUUCAAAUGAUGAACCUCCAAUGCCUCCUCCUUCUGGGGUUUUGUCAAGUACUGAGGCUCCGGAUAACCACCCUCCGGUGCUUUCUCUUUCUGGGGCUCUACCGACUGCUGAGACUUCCCCUAAGCAACCUUUGUGAAGGCUCCCUUUUGUUUGUUUAUUUUGACUCAUGUAUAUGUACAUAUUUGUGGCUUAUCGAAAAUAUUAAUAAAUAAGCUUUGCUUCAUUUCAACGUAUUGUGUUAAAUACACCAAAGCCUUCUUCACUAAGUUCUUUGAAUUUUUCUUUUGUUGAAGCUUGUAUGUUGAAGCUUUCAUUCAGUUUAUUUCACUUGUCCAUUGGAAUUUUAUUCAAAGAAUUAUCAAAUAAAGACAAUAGCAUGCCAAAGAUUAAAAACCCUCAUUUCAAACUUUGCUAAUGCAUAACUCUGUUUGGUUUUCUUCUCCGAAUACCAGACUGAGAGAGGAGUCAAGUUCUCUAGUGCACCAUCAAUCUCCUGUUUGAGAAACCAUCACCACAGCCACUCCCUUGAGGCACCACCGUCGCCAUUUUUCACGGAGAACAACGCCACCACGAAACCACCACCAUUAAUCUCGCCACCUACGCAACUUUUACCAUCCCCGAACCCACCCUCUGCAAAUUGCCCUCAUCCCUUCUAAUUUCAUUUCUUGCAUUUCUUGUAUGGUAUCCAUUUCUUGCACACUCAAAUAUUUAUAUACCAACUGAGAAUAACAAUAUAAAUCCCACACCCACCCCUUUUCCCCACUUGAAAAAUUCACCAAAAGACCGCAUUAACCACCAUAGUUUAAGAAUCCAGACCCCAAAUUUCAAUCUAAUUAAUUAAAUUACAGAUGAUUCUAUCUACCUCAUGAAAACAAAUAUGUUCAGUUAAAGAAAUUCCAUAAUCACUGCAUCUUAAACCACUUCUUAAAUAUGUCCGCCAUACCAAUCUAAUAAAAAAUCCAUGUUCAAUCGAUUCUUAUUAAUUCCAACACCAAGUAUUUCAGCAUCUAGAUUAUAGAAAAAUCACAAUAAAACAAACUCAGAACACCCAGAUUCCAAUCUUGGUGCUAAAGCACACUUUGUUAACCUCACCUUCAUCAAGUCCAUGUUUCCUGCCAUGAGAUCUUUCUCUUUAUCCAGACUUGCCUUUAGCUGCAAGAUCAAAAUAAUGAAGCAUUCAAUUCCAUUUCUAUACUCAUAAAAUUAAAAAUUGAAAUAUGUCAUAAUUUACUCGGAAUCUUCAUAUGUAUUAUGAAAGCAUAUGAACAGAUACAUUUGAAAACUUAUAACGCUACCUAAUAAAGUUGAAAAGUAACUAAUUAAGAUCAAGUUCCAGUGCAUCCAGUGAGCCUUCCAGGGAAAGAUGGCCCCAUGGACUUAGACCUUGAAAACUGAGGCUUGUUUUGCCUUGUAAUUGUAUGAUCAGUAGCAUCCUUAUGGAUUGCAAUUGUAUGAUCAGUAGUAUCCUUAUGGAUUCCCAAAUUAAUCCUCAAAAUUUUGUUCUCAUCCGAUAGCUUAUGCACCUGGGACAAAAGUCGCUCAAUUGUUUCACUAUUCUCCUUGUUUCUCUUUAUCAACUCAGCCCGGUGCUGCAUAUUUUCGUCAAUGAGUUCUGAGAUCUUUUCGUGCAACAUUUUCUCUUUUUCAACCACAUUACCAUCACAUUCUACACCAUUAUCAAUAUUCUUCUCUUCCAUAUAUUCUUCGAAUGUACACAAAACCUUUUUUUAGGACAUACCAGCAUUUGUUUGUUUUGAUGGCUCUGAUUUUGGUUUCCGUUUUCUCUUUUGUGGUGGUCUAAUCAAGAUGCACUCCAAAACACUAAUUUGAGUGCCUACACAGAUGAACAUCGCAUAAAAAUCAUAAAAAAAAAUCCAAAACAGCAGCAGAGAUAAAAAAAUGAUAAUAACUCUAAAAAAAAUUUAAAUCAAAAGCUAAGACUAACUCACAGAAUUUUUGGGCAAAAAAAUUUCUUUAAAUACUAAUUUAAUGCAAUCCAGGAGCUAAAUGCUUAAAUCAGAAAAAAUCCUUUAACCCAGAUACUCCUAUGGUCACAAAUACUGAUAUUUGUGCAGUGCAGCAAAGUUUUUCUUGAAACUUGACGUAUGUCACUAAAAUUAUCCCAAAUAUAUCUCAGAGAUUGCAGAAAUUCAGACUAUCAAUAAUGAGACAGCCGGAAUGUUUUACCCUAAUCUUAUUAGGAUUUUUAACUAAACAACUUGCUCAUGUAACAGCUAUAUUACAGCAUAAAUAUUCAUGAACACUCAUCACCAAUAGCAAAAAGGAGCAAAGUACUAUUACAGAAAUCUAAAGAUACCCAUCAACAAUAUAACAAAAAAAAUUGCGGUGAGAUUUUAAAAUACCAACUUUAUUCGAUAUUACAAUGAAAUAUAACAAAAAGAAAAAUAAAAACAAAAUGUACAAAAAUCAUUAUUUUCAUAAAUAGACAGUGGAAUAACAGAAGAAGCCAAACCCAGAAAAAUUAAAAACAUAGAAUCACAGUAGAAGAAGCACACCAUUUCAGAUCUUUUUAUCCUCUUUGAAGAUCGAUCGAUUCCAGAGAGAGAGAGAGGAGGAGGGAGAAGACAAAUGGGAGAGGAGGUAGACGGAGGCGAGAGGAGGAAAACGACGGAGGUAGUUUAUCGGAAGCAUGUCUUGUCUUGCGUUGCUAGUCAACAAGUCAGUGGAAUCCUCACAAAAUCCCUCACUCAAUCGGGUCAGUGACAACUCCCUCAAUUUUCUCCCUCUCAAUCUCUCAAUCAUCGACAACUACCCAUUAAUUAAGGCUUCUAGUGGCAAUUUUGACCAAUCCCUUAAUCCCGACACCAACCCUUGAUUUGAGGAGGAAAAAUCAACCCUAACCCCCUUUAUGGCAACCUUACUAAGUCACGCCUCCCUCUCACUUCCCCUCCCUGCCAUCCCCCAACUAUCUCCCUCUCUGUCUCUGCACCCCAUGCUUUUUGGCAAUGGCACGAAUGUAAAUAAUACAAAAUCAAAGGAUCAUUUCAAAACAACAUAAAUAGACUGGCAAAACCGUAAAUAUUUCGAAAUCUGUUCAGAUACAAAAUUACCUUCCUAACUUUUAAUAUUUACCCACCAACCCAGUCUCAAAUUUGAUGGCAAUGGUGUAAAUAAAGCAAAAUCGAGUGACAUGUAGAAUAGGUAAUAUCUAUGUGUAGAAAACCUGUAACGGGAAAAUUGAAUUGUAGGAGCCGUAGCUCAUAUUCAUUCAUUGAUAGUGUAUAAAUAUAUUUGAUUACAAAGAGUCCUACAGGGCUCCAGUUCUGCUGUCCCCUUUUGUGUGUCUCCUUUAUGUUUCAACUUUCAUUGCUAAUAUUUUGACACAUGUCUUCUAGCUUAACUUAGUUUCUAACUUUGUUAACUUUUUAUUUAACAUUUAAAAGUAAAAAGAAAAAUCCAAAAUAAUCUGACUGUUGGGUUCUCGAGGUCUGCAAAUCCAAAAUAGAAUUCUUUCUGUGGCUGUCGGGUUACCAACGUGAGCAAACCUCUUCCCAAUUUUUCUCCAUCGUUGUACUGCUUCUUCACUUCUUUCCAGGCCAGCUCUGGUUGAGCUUGGAUUAUGUCCAGUUGAAAGUUGAAAACAAGCUUACCAUGAGACCCCAUAUCCUGCCAACUUUCUCUACCAAAUAUGCCAAAAGCUGUUGGCUGAAGUCAAUGAGAAGAUCAUGGAAUAUGGAUUUGCUGAGAGGUGGUAGAGUGAGAGAUUUUUCAGGUGUGAAAUCCCAUUGUAUUCUAGGAGUCAAGGAUUCUCUGGGAAUUCUGGAUCGAAGAAGACUUAUAAAUUGUUUAGUGAAGACGGAAACGAUUCGAAACAGUGGGACAAGCAUACUGGGUGAAUAGUUGAGUAAGCGAACGGAGGGCUUUAUUCAUUAUCAAUUGUGUGUAUGUUGCUGUUGUUACUGUCGUGCAGAAAAUCUCAGUUUGAGGUGACUGAGAUUACAACAAAUAUGAAAUCAUCCCUCACAGUUGUAGUGCUCUGUAUGUCCUUUAAAUGCAAGAACUGAUUUGUGACUCGAAGAAAGCUCUUGCAGGGUUCGUUUGCUUGGUGUCAAACGAAUUUCACUCUAAAAACAAAAUAAAAUUCUUUUUUCUCAAUCAAACUAUUUUAUGAGUCAUCAGAAAAUCACAAGAAUUGAUAGUCGCUACUACUUUCCAAACAUCAAACUAUUGAACUAAACAUGGUAAAUACCAAUAUUAAACUAAACAUGGUAAAUACCAAUAAUAUAUGAUAAUAUUUGGGAAUUUCUUAUAUUUCAUUAAUCUCCAAAGUGGAGUAUAUAUAGGAGUUACAAUUGGUAUUACAUAUGUACUUCACAAAUGUGGGACAAUAAACUACUAUUUACAUUUUAACUAAUGUAUAACUCGCAACACUCCCCCUCAAGUUGGUGCAAAGAUGUCAUGCAUGCCCAACUUGUCAAGCGAGUCGGAAAAUGCACUAUUAGACACAGCCUUAGUAAGAGCAUCAGCCAGUUGAUCUUCAGAUCUCACAAACGGAAACAUAAUAAUUCCUGCAUCCAAUUUUUCCUUAAUGAAAUGUCGAUCAAUCUCCACAUGUUUUGUUCGAUCAUGUUGCACUGGAUUAUGAGCAAUCUCAAUAGCAGCCUUGUUAUCACAAUGGAGUUUCAUAGCACUUUUGUGUUUAAACCCAAGAUCUCUCAACAAUUUUUUCAACCACAACAACUCACUUACACUAUGAGACAUACCACGAAACUCAGCUUCUGCACUUGACCUAGCCACCACUUUUUGUUUCUUGCUUCUCCAAGUAACUAAAUUACCACCCACAAACAUAAAGUAUCCAGAUGUAGAUCGUCGAUCAGUGAUAGAACCAGCCCAAUCUGCAUCUGUAUACCCUUCGACAUUCAAAUGAUCAUUCUUGGAGAAAACCAGGCCUCUGCCAUGAGCCAUCUUCAAGUACCUCAAAAUACGAGUUACUGCAUCCAUAUGAGCUUCACUAGGUGAGUGCAUAAACUGACUUACCACACUAACUGCAUAAGCAAUGUCAGGGCGAGUGUGAGACAAAUAAAUUAAUCUCCCCACAAGCCUCUGAUACCAUUCCUUAUGAGUUGAAACUUGAUCUGGAAAUAAGCCCAGACGAUGAUUCUGCUCAAUCGGAGUAUCAACAGGUUUGCAAUCUAACAUACCUGUUUCAGCUAACAAAUCAAGAACAUACUUCCUUUGAGAUAGAAAAAAUACCAUGCUUGGAUCGUGCAACCUCGAUUCCAAGAAAAUACUUCAAUUCACCCAAUUCUUUCAUCUCAAACUCAGUAGCUAGGUACUUUUGAAGGUGUUGUAUCUCCUUUUGAUCAUCACCAGUCACUAUCAUGUCAUCAACAUAAAUAAUCAAUGCAGUUAGCUUACCAUUUUGUCGCUUUAGAAACAAAGUAUGAUCUGAAUGACUCUGGAUAUACCCAAACUUCUUCAUUGAACUUGUAAACCUCCCAAACCAUGCUCUAGGAGAUUGUUUCAAACCAUACAAGGCCUUUCGUAACCUGCAUACAAUACCUUUUCCAGGAGAUGUUCCAAUACCAGGUGGGAGAUCCAUAUACACUUCCUCCUUAAGAUCACCAUGAAGGAAAGCAUUCUUAACAUCAAACUGCAACAGAGGCCAAUCCUGGUUUGCUGCCAAGGACAGAAGAACACGCACAGUAUUAAGUUUGGCAACAGGAGCAAAGGUCUCCUGAUAGUCCACCCCAUAGGUUUGAGUAUAACCCUUAGCAACUAAUCUGGCUUUAUACCGAUCAAUAGAACCAUCUGCUUUGUGCUUAAUAGUAAACACUCAUCUACAUCCAACGGCUUUCUUCCCGUUUGGUAACGGAACAAAAUCCCAAGUAGAAUUCUUUUCCAAAGCUUCCAUCUCAACUUUCAUAGCAUUAACCCACUUAGGGUCAGACAAAGCAUCUUGCAAUUUUGUUGGAAUUGAUACACUAGAUAGCUGACAUAUGUAAGAUGCAUAUGGUUGGGACAAACGAUGAGAAGACACAUAAUUGUUGAUAGGAUAUUUGGCUUUGGCAUGCAUAUCAGGCUCAUAUUGUACUUUAGGUUUUCCACGAUUAGCUCGUGGAGGCAACUGAUAAGUAGAAGAAUCGUCAGAAUUUACCUCAUGUAUGCCACCAUCUUGUACCAAACAGUUAGAAGAAUCAUCACUGGACGAACCAUCAUCAGGCAACUCGUUAGACAUAUCAGCAGCAGGCAACCGAUCAUCAGAAGGUAAUUCAUCAGAUAUAUCCGCAGCAGGCAACCGAUCAUCAUCUGUAGCCGACUGAUUAGUAUCACGCAAAAUAAUAUGUUCUGUUCCCAACUCUGUCUGUAACACAUCAUCCAUAUCAUCUCUUCGAAUCUGCACUUCACUCCCCCUCUCCCCUUGAAGUGGAGAGUCGGAAGAGGGCUUCACAAAAUACGAAACUUCCUCAUGGAAGGUGACAUCCAUGGUAAUAUAAGUUUUUUGAGUCGGAGGAUGAUAACACUUAUAGCCUUUUUGAUUGUUAGCAUACCCAAUAAAGACACACCAGAGAGCACAUGCAUCAAGUUUACUCCGCUGAUGAGAGUAGACAUGCACAUACGCAAUACACCCAAACACUUUCGGAGGAAGCUUUGAGACAGAAACAAGAGAAACAUGUUUUUGUAGCACAUCAAACGGUGUCUGAAAAUCAAGAACCCGACUUGGAACACGAUUGAUCAAAUACACAGCAGCCAAAACAGCAUGACCCCACAAAUGAUUAGGAACACAUUUAUCUAACAUCAAUGAGCGAGCAACCUCCAUUAUUUGACGAUUCUUCCGUUCGGACACACCAUUUUGUUGAGGUGUAAACGGAGUAGUCGUCUGGUGAAUAAUACCAUGAUCACGGAAAAAACAUGCCAAAGUGUGAUUCACAUAUUCUCCUCCGUUAUCAGACCUGAAGACCUUAACUUUGGUCUGAAACUGAGUAGAUACCAUUGUACAAAAUUCUUGAAGAAGUAAUGGAACAUCACUCUUAUUUUUCAUCAAGAACACCCAAGUUACCCGAGUACAAUCAUCAAUAAAAGUAACAAACCAACGGAAUCCAUUAGAAGUAACUUUUGCAGGACCCCACACAUUAGAAUGUAUCAAAUCAAAUGGUAAAGUAGCUUUAGAAUCACUUACAGGAAAGGAAGCACGAUGACUCUUAGCCAUGACACAUGUUUCACACUUGAACUCUGAAUCACUACAAGUGCGAAACAAAGAAGGAAAUAGAUGCUUCAUAUAACUGAAUGAUGGAUGUCCCAAUCGUCGAUGCCAUAACCAAAUUUGAUGUCUGUUAUCCACUUUAGCACUUAAAACUUGAUGAUGAUUUGAACCGGAAACAACAGUAUCCUCCAUAGUCAAGAUGUACAAACCCCUUAUCCUUUUACCAUAACCAAUUAUCUUCUGAGUUUGAAUAUCUCGAAAAUAACAAUACGUAGGAUAGAAGUGAGUAGAACAAUAUAAAGUAUCAAGAAGUUUUCCUACCGACAAAAGAUUGCACUUAACAUCAGGAACAAGUAAAGCACGGACCAGUGAUAAGGUUGGAGUCAAAGAGAUAGUGCCUUCACCCUUCACAGGGGAAAGUGCUCCAUUUGCACUAGUAAUAUACGGAUCACGAACAUAAUCACAUAACUCAUCAAACACUCUAGGGUCACUUGUCACAUGAUCAGUGGCCCCAGUAUCAAUUAUCCAUUUAUUUGUUCCACCAAGAUGCAUAACAACACUAUGAUUAUAUUGAGCCAUUGAACAAAAUCACGAACAAUAAAGGCACAAAAGAUAUGCAGCGGAAUGAAAACAAUUUACCAGAGUACUGUAGCAAUCACUGUUCACGGCACUGUAGCAAUACCAUUCACGGCACUGUAGCAAAUAACAAUCACUGUCCACGCACUGUAGCACGACACUUUUUUUUUCACACGGAGGAAAUCACGAAAAAUGUGGCACAAAAUUUAAAGCACAUAGGUCACCAAGAGCGAACUGCUCUGAUGCCAUAUUGAACUAAACAUGGUAAAUACCAAUAUUAACUAAACAUGGUAAAUACCAAUAAUAUAUGAUAAUAUUUGGGAGUUUCUUAUAUUUCAUUAAUCUCCAAAGUGGAGUAUAUAUAGGAGUUACAAUUGGUAUUACAUAUGUACUUCACCAAUGUGGGACAAUAAACUACUAUUUACAUUUUAACUAAUGUAUAACUCGCAACACAAACCAAAUAAAAUUAAUCUUUAAUAAAAAGUAUUAACUGAAACUUUAGUCCCAAAACAGAGUAAAUUCGUUGAGCAUUUUUCUCAUAGCAUCUUGCACUUUCAUAUCAUUAUCAUGAGUCUUUGUGGUGCUUGUCAUUUGAGAGCUGAUCAAAGCCUAAAUCCUUCUUUGGUGCUUUUCAUAUGCUUCGGUUCCAUUGGCUUCACAGGGAUUAUUUUAUCCGUCCAUGUCCUUGAGGAAAAAUGAAAAAUACAAUAUGAGAGCCAAAUUUAUAUAUGAAUAAGAAGCAAGAAAACUAUAGAUGAUUCAAAUAUAUAUAUAUAUAUAUAUAUAUCCUAUACUUGAUUCGUUGCUUAACUUCUCAAGGAUAAACUAUAGAGAAAACGCGGUACAACCAUGGCGAAAACGAACUCCUAUAAGAGCUUGUUUUCAAGUUUCAACAACAACAACAACAACAAAGCCUUUUCCCACUAAGUGGGGUCGGCUAUAUGAAUCUUAGAACGCCAUUGCGCUCGGUUUUGUGUCAUGUCCUCCGUUAGAUCCAAGUACUCUAAGUCUUUUCUUAGAGUCUCUUCCAAAGUUUUCCUAGGUCUUCCUCUACCCCUUCGGCCCUGAACCUCUGUCCCGUAGUCACAUCUUCGAACCGGAGCGUCAGUCGGCCUUCUUUGCACAUGUCCAAAUCACCAGAGCCGAUUUUCUCUCAUCUUUCCUACAAUUUCGGCUACUCCUACUUUACCUCGGAUAUUCUCAUUCCCAAUCUUAUCCUUUCUCGUGUGCCCACACAUCCCACAAAGCAUCCUCAUCUCCGCUUACGUGUUGAUGUUUCACCACCCAACAUUCUCUGCCAUACACCAUCGCUGGCCUUAUUGCCGUCCUAUAAAAUUUUCCCUUGAGCUUCAGUGGCCUACGACGGUCACACAACACGCCGGAUGCACUCUUUCCAUCCAGCUCGUAUUCUAUGGUUGAGAUCUCCAUCUAAUUCUCCGUUCUCAUGCAAGAUAGAUCCUAGGUAACGAAAACGGUCACUUUUUGUGAUCUUCGCUAUAUUGCUCCAGUCAUUAGUGUGGAUAAGUAUAUAAAUGGAUAGAGAUAGGAAAGCAAACACAAGAUGUACGUGGUUCACCCAGAUUGGCUACGUCCACGGAAUAGAAGAGUUCUCAUUAAUUGUGAAGGGUUUACAAAAGUACAUAGGUUCAAGCUCUCCUUUAGUGAGUACAAGUGAAUGAUUUAGUACAAAUGACAUUAGGAAAUAUUGUGGGAGAAUGAUCUCGUAAUCACGAAACUUCUAGAUGUGGCAUCUUCUCUGGAAGUACUCUUCCUCCAUCCAGGGGUGGUAUCUUUAACUGGUGGAGAUGCACAAGGUAAUGUAUCAAUUUCACUUGAAGCUUACUUGUAGUUUCAGGCUUGGUCAAGCGCGAUACAAACCAUGUAGUAGGAGUCCCCCAAGUCGCCGAGCUAGGGGGUCUGCUGAAAGAGGUGACAGACAAGGUAAGCAAUCAGAGCUCCGACUGAUUGUUCACCUUCUCCCCAUCUUGCAGCAGCAUGAAGGAUAAAGAGAAGAAAAAUGAGAAGAGAUGAUAUGAGAUACUUUUGCUUUUGAAGAAGUAACUUUCCACAGGCUUAUUCUUGAACUGAGCUGGAGGGUUUUCUGGUUUCCUCCAGAGUAUAAGGCCGACUGAAGAAUUUGAGGGUCAAAACAAGUCCAUCAAAUCUAGAGUACGUUCCACCCUGCUGAUAUGGGAUACUUUUUCUUUUGACAGAGUAAUGGAUGUAUCGGCACGUGUGCUGUUACGCUUGUCUCCACAUGCUUCCUUGUAUCCUUCGCACUUGCCCUAUCUGUUCCUCAAGCAGAUGCGGAAUCUUCCCUGGAGACAUAAGAUGUUGAAGAUGAGUACUCGAGAGCAAUGCCAGGUAAGUAAUCAGGUAAGGGGUUCCAGGCAGUCAGUUCCUGACUGGAAGCUUGAUUCCAAGUGCUGACUGAUUGCUCUCUUUCUCCUUGUCUUGCAGGUAAAAACAAGGCCAACAGAAAAAACGGGGAAAAAGCAUGAUAUGGGAUACUCUUGCUUUUAACCCUGAUGAUAUGAGAUAUUCUUGCUCUAGUAUAGCUUGUUUGCAGAGGUAUUAUCGGGGGGAAAGAAAGCUGAAUAUUUCGAAAGGCUUUGUUGGGAGUGCCCUCUCAGAUAUGAUGAAGGGUUGAGCAUUUUUGCAGGUCUGCCUGUCCGUUGGGGAUGGAGGUCGACAUAUAUAGGAGUCUCCCUAACAACAAGUAGUAAUGCUAUUCCUUUACCUUGGUAGUGGGAGCUGCCAGUUUCACAUGUUUUAACUUUGUCAGAGCACUUUGAAAAAGUGGUCUGUGGUAUCUGGCUCUCGAGAUUCGGAGAACGAUGCCUCUUCGAUUUUUGAGAAAGCAAUCAUGCUGGGGGUCUGACUCUCGAGAUUCGGAGAGCAGUGUCUCUUCGAUUUUUUUUAGGAAGUAAUCAUGUUGGGAGUCUGGCUCUCGAGAUUCGGAGGGCGGUGCCUCUUCGAUUUUGGAGCAAGCAAUCUUGUUGGGAGUGUUGUCUCGAAUGUGAGUAAAGGUUGAACAUGUUUGCUAGUCUACCUUGCCACGAAGCACAAAGGUUGACACACAGGGACUUUCCAAUUAUCCAGCAAUGGUACUGUUCCUUUACCCUAUCUUCGAUUUUGAGAAAGUAGUCAUGUUGGGAGUCUGGCUCUCGAGAUUCGGAGGACGGUGCCUCUUCGAUUUUGGAGCAAGCAAUCUUGUUGGGACUGUUUUCUCGAAUGUGAGUAAAGGUUGGGCAUGUUUGCUAGUCUACCUUGCCACGAAGCACAGAGGUUGACACACAGGGACUUUCCAAUUAUCCAGCAGUGGUACUGUUCCUUUACCCUUGUGGGUAAUAAUAUGGUAGCUAGACCUUCAAAAUUUAUGUGUCUAAACUUUGUUAGUGCUGUUUCUUUGCUAUUCUUUUACCUUUUCUUGGUCAGAGCGAUGUAGUGGGAGCUGCAAGCUUCACGUGCUCAACUUUGGCAGAGAACUUUGGCAAAGUUGAUCUGUGGUACCCAUGAGUUAUUGUUGCGUGUGGAAGUGGGUGAUUGAACAGUAAGAUUCAUGUGCUUUCUACUUCACCAGAAGUCUUCGACAGAAUGCCCAUAAUUUCUGCAAAGCUGAGUGUGCGUGUGACAGGUGCUGACAAGGCUAGAAAAGUAGGUGCCUCUUCGAUUUCUGAGAUCGGCCCUCGUGGUCUCUGAGCAGCCCAGCUUUUGAGAAAGCGAGCGCCUCUUCGAUUGAUUCGGAGAACGGUGCCUCACCGAUUUUUGAGAAAGCAAUCAUGCUGGGGGUCUGGCUCUCGAGAUUCGGGGAGCAGUGUCUCUUCGAUUUUUUGAGAAAGUAAUCAUGUUUGGAGAGUCUGGCUCUCGAGAUUCGGAGGGCGGUGCCUCUUCGAUUUUGGAGCAAGCAAUCUUGUUGGGAGUGUUUUCUCGAAUGUGAGUAAAGGUUGGGCAUGUUUGCUAGUCUACCUUGCCACGAAGCACAAGAGGUUGACACACAGGGACUUUCCAAUUAUCCAGCAAUGGUACUGUUCCUUUACCCUCUCUUCGAUUUUUAAGAAAGUAGUCAUGUUGGGAGUCUGGCUCUUUAGAUUCGGAGGACGGUGCCUCUUCGAUUUUGGAGCAAGCAAUCUUAUUGGGAGUGUUUUUCUCGAAUGUGAGUAAAGGUUGGGCAUGUUUGCUAGUCUACCUUGCCACGAAGCACAGAGGUUGACACACAUGGACUUUCCAAUUAUCCAGCAGUGGUACUGUUCCUUUACCCUUGUGGGUAAUAAUAUGGUAGCUAGACCUUCAAAAUUUAUGGGUCUAAACUUUGUUAGUGCUGUUUCUUUGCUAUUCUUUUACCCUUCUUGGUCAGAGCGAUGUAGUGGGAGCUGCAAGCUUCACGUGCUCAACUUUGGCAGAGAACUUUGGCAAAGUUAUCUGUGGUACCCAUGAGCUAUUGUUGCGUGUGGGAAGUGGGUGAUUGAACAGUAAGAUUCAUGUGUUUUCUACUUCCCCAGAAGUCUUUGACAGAAUGCCCAUAAUUUCCGCAAAGCUGAGUGUGCGUGUGACAGGUGCUGACAAGGCUGGAAAAGUAGGUGCCUUCUUCGAUUUCUGAGAUCGGCCCUCGUGGUCUCUAGGGAGCCCAGCUUUUGAGAAAGCGAGCGCCUCUUCGAUUUCUGAGAUCGGCCUUCGUGGUCUUUGAGCAGCCCAACUUUUGAGAAAGCAAACGGCCUCUUCGAUUUCUGAGAUCAACCCUCGUGAUCUCUAAGCAGCCCAAGCUUUUGAGAAAGCAAACGCCUCUUCGAUUUCUGAGCAGGCGCCUCUUUCGAUUUCUGAAGCUCCGUCGAGUGCAGAUUUUUUAUAGGGGCUGGCAUUAAGUUCCAAAGCACACUUGAAUCUCCACCAGUAGAAGCUUCAUUCUUGCACUUCUAAGAUCUUGAUUUGUCCGACCUCUUCUCUCUUCAACACCUUUGAAAAUGUCUGGCCCCCUCCGACCGUCGUUUUGACUUGAACCUUGUUGAAGAGGCAGCCCCGCCUUCUCCAGACAACAUAUGGCGCCCAUCCUUCGUCUCCCCAACUGGUCCUCUUACCGUUGGGGAUUCCGUGAUGAAGAAUGAUAUGACCGCUGCGGUGGUGGCCAGGAACCUUCUCACUCCCAAAGAUAACAGACUACUUUCCAAACGGUCUGAUGAGUUAGCUGUUAAGGAUUCGCUGGCUCUCAGUGUUCAGUGUGCAGGUUCUGUGUCUAAUAUGGCCCAACGCCUAUUUGCUCGAACCCGCCAAGUUGAAUCAUUGGCGGCUGAAGUGAUGAGUCUCAAACAGGAGAUUAGAGGGCUCAAGCAUGAGAAUAAACAGUUGCACCGGCUCGCACAUGACUAUGCUACAAACAUGAAGAGGAAGCUUGACCAGAUGAAGGAAACUGAUGGUCAGGUUUUACUUGAUCAUCAGAGAUUUGUGGGUUUGUUCCAAAGGCAUUUAUUGCCUUCGUCUUCUGGGGCUGUACCGCGUAAUGAAGCUCCAAAUGAUCAACCUCUGAUGCCUCCUCCUUCUAGGGUUCUGUCCAGUACUGAGGCUCCAAAUGAUCCCCCUCCGGUGCCUUCUCUUUCUGGGGCUCUACCGACUGCUGAGACUUCUCCUAAGCAACCUUUGUGAAGGCUCCCUCUUGUGUGUUUAUUUUGACUCAUGUAUAUGUACAUAUUUGUAGCUUAUCGGGGAUAUCAAUAAAUAAGCUUUCCUUCAUUUCAACGUAUUGUGUUAAAUACACCAAAGCCUUCUUCGCUAAGUUCUUUGAAUUUUCUUUUGUUGAAGCUUGUAUGUUGAAGCUUUCUGAGUGGAGCAUGUAGGUUGGGGUAGUGUUCCCUUAAUUUCCCGAGUGAGGAAAACUUCUUGGUUGGAGACUUGGAAAAUCCAAGUCACUGAGUGGGAUCGGCUAUAUGAAUCUUAGAACGCCAUUGUGCUCGAUCCUGUGUCAUGUCCUUCGUUAGAUCCAAGUACUCUAAGUCUUUUCUUAGAGUCUCUUCCAAAGUUUUCCUAGGUCUUCCUCUACCCCUUCGGCCCUGAACCUCUGUCCCAUAGUCGCAUCUUCUAAUCGGAGCGUCAGUAGGCCUUCUUUGCACAUGUCCAAACCACCGUAACCGAUUUUCUCUCAUCUUUCCUUCAAUUUCGGCUACUCCUACUUUACCCCGGAUAUCCUCAUUCCUAAUCUUAUCCUUUCUCGUGUGCCCACACAUCCAACGAAGCAUCCUCAUCUCCGCUACACCCAUUUUGUGUACGUGUUGAUGUUUCACCGCCCAACAUUCUGUGCCAUACAGCAUCGCCGGCCUUAUUGCCGUCCUAUAAAAUUUUCCCUUGAGCUUCAGUGGCAUACGGCGGUCACACAACACGCCGGAUGCACUCUUCCACUUCAUCCAUCCAGCUUGUAUUCUAUGGUUGAGAUCUCCAUCUAAUUCUCCGUUCUUUUGCAAGAUAGAUCCUAGGUAACGAAAACGGUCGCUCUUUGGUAUUUCUUGAUCUCCGAUCCUCACCCCUAACUCGUUUUGGCCUCCAUUUGCACUGAACUUGCACUCCAUAUAUUCUGUCUUUGAUCGGCUUAGGCGAAGACCUUUAGAUUCCAACACUUCUCUCCAAAGGUUAAGCUUUGCAUUUACCCCUUCCUGAGUUUCAUCUAUCAACACUAUAUCGUCUGCGAAAAGCAUACACCAAGGAAUAUCAUCUUGAAUAUGUCCUGUUAACUCAUCCAUUACCAACGCAAAAAGGUAAGGACUUAAGGAUGAGCCUUGAUGUAAUCCUACAGUUAUGGGAAAGCUUUCGGUUUGUCCUUCAUGAGUUCUUACGGCAGUCUUUGCUCCUUCAUACAUAUCCUUUAUAGCUUGGAUAUAUGCUACUCGUACUCCUUUCUUCUCUAAAAUCCUCCAAAGAAUGUCUCUUGGGACCCUAUCAUACGCUUUUUCCAAAUCUAUAAAGACCAUGUGUAAAUCCUUUUUCCCAUCUCUAUAUCUUUCCAUCAAUCUUCGUAAGAGAUAGAUUGCCUCCAUGGUUGAGCGCCCUGGCAUGAACCCGAAUUGGUUGUCCGAAACCCGUGUCUCUUGCCUCAAUCUAUGCUCAAUGACUCUCUCCCAGAGCUUCAUUGUAUGACUCAUUAGCUUAAUACCCCUAUAGUUCAUGCAAUUUUGUACGUCGCCCUUAUUCUUGUAGAUAGGCACCAAAGUGCUCGUUCGCCACUCAUUUGGCAUCUUCUUCGUUUUCAAAAUCCUAUUGAAAAGGUCAGUGAGCCAUGUUAUACCUGUCUCUCCCAAAACUUUCCACACUUCGAUUGGUAUAUCGUCUGGGCCUAUUGCUUUUCUAUGCUUCAUCUUCUUCAAAGCUACAACCACUUCUUCCUUCCGGAUUCGACGAUAAAAGAGUAGUUUCUACACUCUUCUGAGUUACUCAACUCCCCUAAAGAAGCACUCCUUUCAUGUCCUUCAUUGAAAAGAUUAUGAAAAUAACCUCUCCAUCUGUCUUUAACCGCGUUCUCUGUAGCAAGAACCUUUCCAUCCUCAUCCUUGAUGCACCUCACUUGGUUUAGGUCCCUUGUCUUCUUUUCCCUUGCUCUAGCUAGUUUAUAGAUAUCCAACUCUCCUUCUUUGGUAUCUAGUCGUUUAUACAUAUCGUCGUAAGCCGCUAACUUAGCUUCUCUGACAGCUUUCUUCGCCUCUUGCUUCGCUUUUCUAUACCUUUCACCAUUUUCAUCGGUCCUCUCCUUGUAUAAGGCUUUACAACAUUCCUUCUUAGCCUUCACCUUUGUUUGUACCUCCUCAUUCCACCACCAAGAUUCCUUUUGGUGUGGGGCAAAGCCCUUGGACUCUCCUAAUACCUCUUUUGCUACUUUUCGGAUACAACUAGCCAUGGAAUCCCACAUUUGGCUAGCUUCCCCCUCUCUAUAUCCCACACACAUUGGGUGAUUACCUUCUCUUUGAAAAUGGCUUGUUUUUCUUCUUUUAGAUUCCACCAUCUAGUUCUUGGGCACUUCCAAGUCUUGUUCUUUUGUCUUACUCUUUUGAUAUGUACAUCCAUCACCAACAAGCGAUGUUGAUUAGCCACGCUCUCUCCUGGUAUAACUUUGCAAUCCUUACAAGUUAUACGAUCCCCUUUCCUCAUUAGAAGAAAAUCUAUUUGUGUUUUUGACGACCCACUCUUGUAGGUGAUCACAUGUUCUUCUCUCUUCUUAAAGAAGGUGUUGGCUAAGAAGAGAUCAUAUGCCAUUGCAAAAUCCAAGAUAGCUUCCCCAUCCUCGUUUCUCUCCCCAAAACCAUGGCCACCAUGAAAACCUCCAUAGUUGCCUGUCUCCCUGCCCACGUGUCCAUUUAAAUCUCCUCCUAUAAAUAACUUCUCCGUCUGAGCAAUUCCUUGCACCAAGUCUCCAAGAUCUUCCCAAAAUUUCUCCUUCGAACUCGUAUCCAACCCUACUUGAGGUGCGUACGCACUAAUCACAUUGAUAAGUUCUUGUCCUAUUACAAUCUUGAUUGCCAUGAUUCUAUCUCCUACCCUCUUGACAUCUACAACAUCUUGUACCAAGGUCUUGUCCACGAUGAUGCCAACACCGUUUCUCGUUCUAUUUGUGCCCGAAUACCAAAGUUUAAACCCUGAGUUUUCUAGAUCCUUUGCCUUACUACCAACCCACUUAGUUUCUUGUAGGCACAUAAUAUUUAUCCUUCUCCUCACCAUAACUUCCACUACUUCCAUAGAUUUUCCCGUUAAGGUUCCUAUAUUCCACGUUCCUAAACGCAUUUUGCUCUCUUGAACUCUACCCUUCUGUCCUAGCUUCUUCACCCUCCCCCGUCUAAUAGGAUCAAAGUACUUCUUUUGUGUGUCCCGGGUAAAGUUGAUAGGAGCAUAUGCUCCCAAACAACUUUGAGUGGAGUCGUUCGAAAAGAAGUUUCUAUGGCCCCCUUGCUCAUUUAACACUGCAUCCGGGUGCCGAUGGAGAUACAGCGACCCUUGCUCACUUAUCACUGUGCUCGGGCCACACAGCGCGCCACUUACGGGUGACGCCCUAGCUUUAGCGCGAUUUUGUUCUGGAUUCAUUUUCAUAAGGAUUCGACGUGAUCAUGGAGUGUCGGCUGUCGACUACCUGACGCCCUCCCCCUCCUCCUUUAUCCAGGCUUGGAAAGAAGUGAAGAAGCAGUACAACGAUGGAGAAAAUUUUUGGAAGAAGCUUGCUUAUGUUGGUAACCCAACAGCCACAGAAAGAAUUCUAUUUUAGAUUUGCAGAUUAUUUUGGAUUUUUUUAACUUUUAAAUGUUAAAUAAAAAGCUAACAGAGUUUGAGAUUAGGUUAAGUUAGAUGACAUGUGUCAAAAUAUUAGCAAUAAGACAUACACACAAAAGGGGACAGCAGACUUGAAACCUUCAUACAGGGAUACAAAGUAUUCCCAUCUAUAUCUCAAAUAAAAGAUGACAUAAAUCAAUAUGAUUUGGUUUGUUUACAGAUGGCGGAUUGGAUUGGGACAAGGUCUUUUGUUCAACAUUUUAUGUAUCGAGACUAGAAAUUGAGAGUUUUUAUCAUUUUUUUUUCAGACAUGUAAAUGGCGUCCAUUGAAAAUUGGUGAUUGUGGGGGCAAGUCAAACUUUAAGUGUGACUUGAUCACUCUGAAUCUCAAAAUUUAAAGUACCGAAACCUAUUUUCAUGUCCAUGCUAUUGAAUUAUCAGAGAGACGAGUCGAUGGCCCAACUCCAACAACAUUGAUAUUGUUCCCAACUUGGUAAUUACCACCUGCACAAUCCGUCAGGUGUAGAGUUUUAUCACAAAAGGUCUCGAUUUUAGUUGAAAUGGGAUUAGGAUAUUUAAACUCUUCUUUUCUCAUUGAUACGGUGGAUGUGAGGCAUUUUAACACGCAUUCUCACGUGGGACCCAAUUAGUGGGUCACACAUGGAAGAUCCACACAUCGACAACCACGUGAAGCGAAGGAGACUCACCCAACACAGGGGGCCAAGGGACCCACCAUCAUCGCAUAGGGUCAAGGGGACCCAUCCAUCACGUGGCAGUACAGUACGGGCCAUCUUCUUGGCUCUGAUACCAUGUUGAAUUAUUAGAGAGAUGGGCCGAGGACCCAACUCCAACAACAUCGAUAUUGUCCCCAACUUGGUAAUUACUACCUGCACAAUCCGUCAGGUGUGAGAUUUUAUCACAAAAAAAACAUCGGUUUUAGUUGGAGUGAGGUUAUGGUAUUUAAACUCUUAUUUUCUCAUUGAUAUGAUCGAUGUGAGACAUUUCAACACAUGAACUUUUAUGCUGAUGGUUACUUUGUAUCUAAGUAGGGAAUGUUUAUUUGAUUUGUCAUUUUACCUAUUGGUUAAACUUUGAUCACUUAUCUUGGACAGAUAAAUCUGAGUUAUUUACAAUUGCACCAUGGAGGUCACUUUAUAGAAGCCUGUAAUGGGACAAUGACUUGUGUUGGGAAAAUUUUUAGUUGUGACUGGAACACAGAUGGUGCAUCACGUGUUUUUAUGUAAAUGGUGAAAAUUUUUAAUUUUUAAAUUAUUAACUUUUUAACAGACAUAUUCAACCAUUUACAUGAAUAUAUAUGAUAUAUCGUCUUGUGUGAUGGUCACACUAAAAAAUCUCUCAUUGUGUUGGUGGUCAUGUUGCUUGGUUUGACAAUAUGAACUGUGAUUUAAUGUCCAGGUGGGAUAUUGAGGAUUGUGCGAAGAAAGUAGGGUCACUACUAGAAAAAGAGCUACAGGACACCGUUCUUUAUAUUCUAUUCCCAAAUCGUGCAUAUUUGAAGAAAGUUGUCACCGUGAAAAAACAUUGGUGCAUUUUACAUUUUUUUACACUGAAAAACGGUGCCCAACAGAUAUUUGACAAAUUUUUUUUGGAAAUUAUUAACUUUUACUGGUGUCUAUAUGGAUUAUGGAGCGUGCCCUGACAACUUUUAUAGUCGAGUAAAUUGUAGUAAUGAUCUAUUAACUUUAAUCAAAUUGAAGCAAUGAUCAUUCAACUAAAAAUCCAUUACUAUUGGUCUUUCAACUUAUCAAAAUGUGUAGCUGUAGUCAUUUUCAUCAAUUUUAUCAAAAUAAAUUAUGUUGAAAUAACCAUUUAUAUAAUUAUGGUCCCUCAACUCAUCCAAAUGUGUAAUUAUGAUCAUUUUCGUCAACUAUGUCAAAAUUUUUGGCAAAACGAGUUAUGUUGAAAUGAUCAUUGCUACAAUUGGGUUAGAGUUAAGGGACUAUUUCUUCAGUUGAAUUAAAGUUGAGGGACCAAUAGUAAUGAAUUUUUAGUAAAUGAACUAUAAUUGCAUAUUUUGAUGAAUUUUUAUAAUCAAACCGAUUUGAUAUUGUAUAGAAAAUUUGAAUACAAAAGAUGCUGUAGAUGUAAUUAUUGAUUCCAUACUGAUGAAACCAGGUCAUUGUAAAACGCUCUCUCUAAAUCCAAUCCAACCAUGUGGCUGUGAGUUUCUCAAUUUUUUUAUUAUUAUCAAAGUAUGGACUGGAGCACAAAAGUAAAGUAAUAAACAAUAUUUCACCUCCACUCCUUUUCAUAUCAGUUUCCGGAUUCCUCUUCUCCUAAAAGCUUCUACAGUUUUUCUCCCAACACCUCAAGCGGUUGCAUGGCGUCCUCUAGAUCAGCAGCCUCUCAUCCGCAUGUCGUCAACAAUAUGCAUGUAGUCCUCUGUGUUUUUGUCGCCCUCUGAGUUUUAAAGUUGUUGGGAUGUGAAAGGCUGAGUCCACGAGAGAUUUGUUUACUGGGUUCGUAAGUUGUUUGAUGGGAGUUUGAUUGACUCUUAAACCUGGUAAAAAGUUUCCUUGCUUCUCUCUGUCUCUUCUCUUGCUUUAUAUUUUUUUAUUUUUUUAUUUUUUUUAUUUCUAAUUUUUAUUUUUGGUUGAAGUUUAAAACUUAGGCAAAAGACUGUUUACUACCCUCAUAUUUCGUGGUUUUCAACAUUUAGUAUAUCAAGUUUUUUUCGUCCCAGAGUCAUACCUAAAGUGUAAAUUUUGGGACAGUCUCAUACAUCUGUUAGUCAAACUGUUAAGUUUUCCGUUAACUGAUGACGUGGCGCCCAUGUGGACAAUGACUGGAUGCCACGUGUCAAUAAGGGUCCCACGUGGAUUUAAAAAUUACAAAAAAUUACAAAAUUGCAAAAAAAAAUAAAUAAAAAAAAAGCUGUUGUUGUCUACGCCCACCAAACCCUCUAUACUCGACCCAUCUCCCUCUCCUCCACCCUUUGCAAAAACCCUAACUCCCAAAAUCUUUUGAGUUUUCAAAAAAAUUGAGCAAACCGAGCAUGAAAUCCCUAAUCCCCAAAAUCUUUCCGACCCGUUUGAAUUUGACUUCAAUUUCAUCAAACACAUAAUGAAAACACAAAAAGACUUCGAUUUCGUCAUACCAAAAAACUGAUCAGUCAGGACUCGGACAUUCAUUUUCGUUUUGUUCCCCCCAAAUUUUCUCAACAACCAAACAGUCCAUUUCAAAUUAUAAACAACAAAAGCAGCAGAAUCACAAAGAUCAAUACACAAAAUUUGAAAUUUCUUAGCUAAUCCGUAACUCUGUUUGCGGGAAACAAAGCAGCUCUAAAUCACUCGCCUUUGAGUUCGAAAUGCAUACCUCGAUUUCUUAGAGAUAACGACGCUUUCUCAAACGUCGUCUAUGAGAAGGCCAUCCCGGCAAUGAUCAACGAAAAUCGGGAAAUGCAGUGAAAUUGGAAGCUGAAAGGACACCGUGACCUAGUUGGUGGCCAGACGACGGCAGAUAUGAUGAAAUUGCGGCAGAGAAAAUGGCUUUUAGGGUUUUAGAGAGGCAGUGAGUGAGGUGAAGAAUCUGGAAUUUUAGAGAGAGAGAGAGAGGAGAAGGGGGUCUCUACAGCUUGAAAAUGGCCUCAGCAAAGGCGUAGCGUUGGUGAAUCGCCUCGUCGAGGAAGCCACAGCGCUCCCGGCAUAAGGCGACGGCCAGAAGAUCGUCGAGCUUGGAGCUCGUCCAGCCCAUUGGGUUGGGUAUGGAGGGACUAUGAGAGGGAUGGGUCGGGUUGGGAGGUGGUGGUGAGGGAAGAACGAGUGCGAGUGGGGAGAGGGACGGAGGGGGGAGACCAAGUCGCUCGGGGUGGGGAAGACAAAAGGGAUCUGGAGAAGGAUGGAUAUGCAGAUGUGCAUAAGGAUUUAGGGAUUUGGGUAGUGAGAGCGGAGAGUGAGAGCGAAUGUGCAGAGGUACGUGUCACAGCAAAUCGCUCGGGGUGGGGAAGACAAAGGGGAUCUGGAGAAGGAUGGAUGUACAGAGGUGCAGAGGGAUAUGGGGAUUUGGGGAAUGAGAGAGAGCGGAGAGUGAGGGUGAGAGCGGAUGUGCAGAGGUGCAUAAGGAGAAGGGAAGCGGAUCGGGGUGGGGAAGACAAAGGGAAUCUGGGGAUUUUUUUUUUAUUUUUUUUAUUUUUAUACUUUUAUUUAAUUAAAAUUUUAAUUGUUUAUUUAUUUAUUUAUUUAUUUUUAAAUUUCCACGUGGAUGACCCGUGGCGCCCAGUCAUUGUCCACAUGAGCGUCACGUCAUCACUUAACGGGAGAUUUAACAGUUUGACUAACGGAUGUAUGAGACUGUCUCAAAAUUUAAACUUUAGGUAUGACUCUGAGACGAAAAAAACUUCAUGUACUAAAUGUUGAAAACCACGAAAUAUGAGAGUAGUAAACAAUCUUUUACCCUUAAAACUUUCUUUUAAAAGACUCAUUUUCUCUAAAAAGUAAUAAUAAAAAGGGAUAUCAAAUGAAAGGCUCUGGUAGUCUUGAAAUACGUGUAUUGUAGUUUCUCUAUGUAUAUAAAACAAGAACAAUUGAUAAUCUGUAUCUUUGGAAACCAACCAUAAUUCUCAGUUCCCCUCCUCUCUCAGAGUGCUCUCUCCCUCUCGUCAUCACGAGUAAGGCUAGAUCUAAUGAUCUGAUUUCAACGACGCCUCUGGCUACCAGAUCUGGUACUGGCAACCAUUUUUGCUUGGAUCUCGCUCUCUCUCCCUCUCGAGCUAAGCAGACGCACCUCCAUGGAAGAAGAUGGAUGCUCGACGUCAAAAUGAUGGAUGUAAGUUGACUGUAGAGAUCUGAUUUCCUGCUGCCUCUCCACCUCGUUUUCAUCAUGAUGUGCCCUAAACCUAAUCUGGUAGGUAUUUAUUUGGGUAUUUUUUUUAUCUCGGUUUCUUUUUCUAAUUCAUUUUCAGAUCGUUGGAAUGUAUGUAUAUCAAGUUCUAUUUAUAUUCUCUCUUUUUAAAUCAUUUUCAGAUAUUCGGGAUUGUUUGAGAAGACCUAUGAGAAUCCCACUUACAAAAUUUUGUGAGCAACAAACUUAAGUGUUGAAACAUUGUUUGUAUUUUCUAUUUUUCGUCAAAGUUAUUAUUUUUUAUUUUCUGUUUUUGUAUGCUUAAUGUUGACUCUUUUGGUGGUAUUGUUAUGAAGGUGAAUCUGGAAAAAUAUGUUCAUUCUAGAAUCGUUACUCGAGUUCUUGGAUGGAUGGGAAGGUUGUGGAACUCUCCUAGGUUUAAAUGAUUAAUUUUCAUCCAAAGCAUGUGGUAUUAAUCGUGGACUUCGUCAAUGGGAGCUCAGCGGGCUCCCUCUUUUUACAUACAUAAAUUGCAAUUUGGACACUGAUGCUAAAAGGCAUAUUUUAUGUGAAAAAAUAUUUAAUCUAUUAAUAAACAAAUAAACCAAAAUAUAAUAAUGUCAUAUAUCUACUAUUCCUUUGCCCACCAAUGUAUAAAUGGUGGUGUUUGUUACAAUAGAGACUUCUGUAGAGGACAUGGACCCUAAUUUAGUGGCUGCAUGAUGGCUGUUUAUGCUUGCCACCGAAUUCAGUGUCCAAUGUUUCCAAUUGGCACCAAUAAGAUAGUGUUCUAUAGCUAUUUUCUAAAAAAAAACUAAUGAAAAAGGCUUGAAAACUUUAAGUUUUAACGAUAAGGAUAAAAUAAAGGGUAAAAUGAAUAGUAUCAGAAUUGACUUUUUAGUGUAAAAAUAUAAUUUUUCGUUAAAGUGAACACUACCAUGAGUUUUUUAUUAAAACUCCUAUUUUUCUAGUAGUGGGUAUACUAAGACUGCUAAGUACCAUUACACAUUGUCAAAUGACAGAACUUACAAGCCCAUUGUUGCUGAUAGUGAUUUUUGGAGUCUAGCUACUGUAUUGCCCCUAAAUAGAGUGGUACUUGUGUACACCGUUGAUGAUGUCCAACUGAUCAAUUCAGCCCCAAACAUUGAAAUUCAAGCUUCAGCAAACUCUUUUGACAUUCCUUACAUGUCAGCCCCAAACAUUGAAAUUCAAGCUUCAACAAACUCUUUUGACAUUCCUCACGUCUGAUCCUUUUGGCAUAUUUGAGGGAUUUUUGGAGCAAGCUUAUGAAGGAGAUCGGGAACAAGACAACCUUGUUGAGGCAGGUAUACAUAACAUGGAAAAUGAAGAGAGAGAUGGCGAUGGCAAUUCGGAAGAUUCAAAUUAGUGAGACUCAGACUAUGAACAAAGUGAUGUCGAUGACAACUUAUUUGACGACAAUUUAGAGAAAACUAAAGGGAAAAAUACCAAUGGAAAAUGCAAUGGAAAUAGGAAAGCAUCACGUAAUACUGAACCCUUUCCUGAUUUAGGAUUUGGAGAUGUUGAAACAAACUACGAAGAUUCUGAUGGCUUUAGAAGUGGUUCUAGUUCAUCAUCUGAAGGUGAACAACCAGUGAAGCGGAAACGUAGGAAGAAAAUGCCCAAAUUCAUUCCUUUUAGAAGUGAUUUGGAUAUGAAGAACUGGAAUGAUAUUUGCCAAUAGAAGGGGGCUCAGACAAGCAGUGACAUAUUAUGGUUGUGUGAAUGGAAGACAAAUAAGAUUCCCAAUAAGAGAAGGUUAUAAAGUUCAGGGUAAGUGUACAAAGGAGGGAUGUCCAUGGGUGAUUUAUGCAAGCAAAACAGAUGGGAGCCCUGCACUUAUAGUGAAGACACUCAAUGACGUCCAUACAUGUCCGAGAGAGCAAAAGCUCAGAGUAUGCACCUCAAAUUGGUUAUCACAUAGGUAUGCUGACUAUUUGCUUGACAAUCCUAAGUGGGAAGUGUCAAAAUUUCAACAAACUGUUCAUAAACAAUACAAUAUGCAUGUAACACCGGCUCAACUUUAUAAAGCACGAUCAUUGGCAGCUGAGAAGAGUGAAGGGGGCUUAUGUGGAGCAAUAUGCAAGGUUAUGGGAUUAUUGUGAGGAGCUCAAGCGAAGAAAUCCUGGCAGUACAAUUUUGGUGAAGACUGAAAUGGAAGGAGGAAGGCCUAGGUUUCAGAGGUUGUAUGUAUGCUUUGCAGCAUUGAAAAAAGGCUUUUUGGAAGGUUGUAGGCCAGUGGUGGGAUUGGAUGGAUGCCACAUUAAAGGUCCACAUCCAGGCCAGUUGCUUGCUGCCAUUGGUAUAGAUGCCAACAAUGGCAUGUAUCCAGUAGCAUAUGCGAUUGUUGAAAUUGAAGAUAGAAGAACUUGGACUUGGUUUCUCGAGCUACUCAUCACUGAUUUGGGUAUUGAAAAUGGGCAUGCUUGGGUCUUUACGUCAGACAAACAAAAGGGGUUAAUAAAAGCUGUGAAGGACCUUAUUCCAACUGCUGAACACAUACAUUGUGUUCGACACUUAUAUAACAAUUUCAAGAAAACACACGUUGGCAUUGCAUUGAAACAAAUUCUUUGGUCAGCAGCUAGAGCAACCACCAUUCCAGGAUUUAAAGCAGAGAUGACUAAGAUGGAAGUUGAAGACGGAUUGGCUAUAAGUUGGUUUGAUGACAAACCAGCAUGUCAUUGAAGCAGAUCUUAUUCUAGGACAUCAUCUAAGUGUGAUAUCUUGUUGAAUAUUCUAUGUGAGUCUUUUAGUAGUGCAAUAUUGAGAGCAAGAGAUAAACCAAUAUUAACUAUGGUGGAAAGGAUUACAACAUAUCUGAUGGUCAGAAUGGCAAGAAUGAGAGAAGCAGCGGAUAAGUGGAAAACUGAGGUUGGCCCUAGAAUAUUUAAAAUGGUUGAAAAAAAUAAAUUAGAAAGUGGUUCAUGUAUUGCUUGGUUGUCAGGUGAUAUGGAGUAUCAAGUGAAGCAUAUGAGUGGAGCACAAUAUGUGGUUGAUUUAGCGAAACACACAUGUACAUGUAGAAGGUGGGAUCUCACUGGAAUUCCUUGUGCUCAUGGAAUUGCUGUAAUCUAUAGAAAGGAGGACGAUCCAUACAAGUAUGUUCAUUCUUGUUACAAGAAAGCAGCAUACUUGAGAGCCUACACUUAUAUCCAUGCCAUGCUUAGUCAAGAAUUUUGGCCACCUACAAAUCACCAACCCGUUGCAUCUCCAAAGUAUCAUAAGCAAGCUGGUAGGCCAAAGAAGGUGAGGGCAAGAGAGCAAGAUGAACCACAACCACCAUCAACCUUAAAAAAAUUGCCUAAAUGCUUCAGCAAGGUCACUUGUGGAAUGUGUGGCAAGAAAGGUCAUAAUCGUACAACAUGCGGGAAGAGGCAACGACAAGCUUCACAGGUAAAAAUAGCUUAAUGGUUUCACUUAUCUGCAUUUUUAGUCACAUAUGGUUGUUAUAAAUUGGGGAAUAUCAUCUCUUAGGCCUAUGGAGAAGCUGGGAGAGGACAAACUUGUGGGACAAAUGAAAUUGGCCAUAACUCACCAACUACUGAAAGUGGGCAAACACAAGCAAUGGUGUGCGUACUGAAAACUUCGGUAUUUUAAGGUUUUGUCUUGUAUUUAUUGACUGAUGUAUGUGUAACUCUUUUAUUGAUCAUUUUGUAGCAUGCCACUGGAGGAAAUACGGGAAGUGAAACUCCACCAAAUCAGGGACAAGAAAAAUCUGCACCUAAUGCAAGUUCUUUUGACCUAUGUCUUUGUCCCUUUCUCGUCAGGUUUUUUUUUACUUUUUUAUUGUUUGUAGGUUUCUAAAAGGGGUAGAGUGAAAAAAAAAUGCAAGAGGUAAGUCAAUGCACAAGUCAAGAAAACCACCUAAAAACCGUAGAAUCUGAAGAAAUCAUUUGAAACUUUAGACUUUUUGUUAAUAUUGUCAAUAUCCUCUUGGACUCGAUGGUACUGAGCACUGUGAUCAUGAUACUCACUAGAUCGAAGUGCAUGUUUAAUAAUGGAAUCACCAAAUGGAAAAGCAAAAUCAUAAGUUGGGUACAAGUUGUACUCGGACACAAUUCGAUGAUGUGGUGUAGAUUGUAGGGGUAAUAAAUAGGAUCUUGAAGAGAUUUUUUUUGGAUACUGCAUAUCCAGAGUUCUCCUCAAUGAAUGAUUAUGAUUUAGGUCACAAUUGACCUCGAAUGCCCAUUUUCUUCUCAAGAAUUUGAAAACGAAUUUGUGAGCUUAAUCAACAUCUAAUUGUGGACUAUCUCACCUAGAUAUAUCUACAAGAUGGUCAUAAUAUUAUUUGCUUGUUAUUACAAGCUCAAUUUCCCAAUUGUAGGCUAUUUCAGACCACUGGGAAUUACUUUUAAGCACACAAUUUUUCAUGGCUUAGCACAAGGUUAAGCAUUCUAUUCAUUGCUAAUUUUUGGUUAGGAGAAUCAUCUUGAUCCACAGGCAUGUAUCAUCAUGAUCAUUUCGGUUGACGUUUAUUUUUCAACCAACAAGAAAUUGUGUACACAAAGAUGGUUCAAUCCAUGAAAAUUGAGAUUCAAGUUUAUCUUUCUAAAUAGCAACUAAAAUACCUCUUUGUAAUUGCAAUAUACAAUUUAGUUUUACAAAAAACAUCCAAAAGAGUUUCAAGUCAUGCGGAUGAACAUUUUAUGCAAAUAUAUUGCAUGGGCUUGAUCCUUUUUACUUCAUCACUAGUCAUUCCCUCGCAUUCAGCAUGGAAACUUUAUGAGCAAUUCAUAUGAUGUAAUAAGUAAAGAUGGAAUUGAACAAUAACAACUUGAAAGAAAAGAAUUUGAAGACUUUACCACUCCUUGCAUGCCUCACAGCACACCAUGAGAUUAUCUGGGUUAUACGGUAUCUGACAAGUGCAAUACCUUAAAAAAUAAUUAAACAAAUAAACAGCACAUCAAAUUUCAUCUAUAAACACCACAUAUCAACUAAAACGUAAGAUAAAAGAGACUCACAGAGGAAUAAGAAAAUUGUCGAACCCUUUCCUAGAAUGCAAGACCUAAAUCUCUAAUAGUAAUCCUCAUAUGUUACCAUUUGGAGUUUUACGUACUCAUCAAGAGUGUGGACAUUACACUUUCCGAGAAUGGUAUCAAUGCUCAUAGUAUCACGAUGAUUAAACCAUAUGAGCUCAUCCUUUCCAAAGAAAGGAGGACGCUUUUCAAGGGCAUCAUCUGACCUAUAGAACCACCUCACCAUCACUUUCUUUUUAUUGUGACUAAAACGCAGGAUGGCCGCCACCCAUGGCUGAUCGUUCACUAUUGCACCAUCAUGAUUAAUCAUGACUUAAUCCCCAACGGAGAAAGUCUCAUUGGUAGUUGUAAUGCAACAAGUGGCCAUCCCUUCCAAAUAACUGGCAAUCAUAUAAAAGAGAUCCAACAAGAAGUGAUCAGCUUAACCCCAGUGUCCCUCCCAACUCUAAUGUCAAUCACAUAAAAGAGAUCCGUCUACUAUAUGACCUCAACUAUAACAAAAGAGCUCAAUCUUAUAACAAAAGAAUAAACAAAACAUAAAUCUUAUAACAAAAGAUUAAAAAAACAUAGCUAUUAGUGCUUUUAGUGAGGGUGAAAUAAUCUGGACAAUAGAAUUCAAACUACACCAUUACAUAAUUGAUCUACAUUCUAAUCACUAGCAGCAAAUGAAACCUUAAUUUUAAUUCAAAAUUGAAACCCUAAUAGCUCAAAAUUUCGAACUAUUACAUAAUUGAUAACUAGUUUUAAAUCAAAAUCACUAGCAGUAAACGAAACCCAAAUCGAAAUCAAGGUGAAAUUUCUUACCACGUGCAGUGCAAUCGUUGGAGGUGAAAGACAUAUAGAAUUCGAGAGGAGAAAGAGACUCAGAAACGAGUCGAGAGAGAGCCGGUGUGUGGUGAUUCUGAAUUUGAAUUAUAUUAGCCGUUGAAUUUAAAUUUGGACCGCCAAAUUUUUUACUGUUGGAUUUAAUCAUCUUAGCUGUUGAAUUUAAACACUUUAUAAAAGAAUAUGAAACGUAUUGAAAAAAAUUCUUUUAAUUAUUUCACUCGUUGAACUCCCGAGUCUCAACUCCAUCCCUUAAGACUCUCUGGAUUCCAAGUCUCCUACUACCAGGCACCACCACCAUCUCCUCUCAAGUCUCAACUCCCACAUCUCUUCUAUCUCCCGACUCCAACCACCACCAUCAUCUCCUCUCAACUGAAGUCGAUAGCUCGAUCCCUCCCACCACUGAGUAAGGUACUCAGUUUUAAUUUUUAGGGAUUUAAGAUUUAGUGUUUUCUAGAUUUUGGGGUCUUGAUCUAAUAAUUUCUAGUUGUCUGAUAACGGAAUCAACUGCUUAGUCUUAUAAUUUUGAAGCUUUGCUUUGAUAUUUUGAUUAAAUUGAAAUUUGAAUUAUGAGAAUAUUAGAAACUUACAUAUCUAUGUAAUGAAGAAAAAGAAAAUUAGAAACUUACAUGAAUUGAUCAAAAUAAUUACACCAACAAAAUAUCCAUUCAGUCAAAAUUUUGCACCAUUACAGAAUUGAUCUAAAUUCUAAUAACUAGCAGCAAACAAAACUUUAAUUUUAACUCAAAAUCGAAACCAUAAUAAAAUAGGAAAGUUAGCUAAAAAUUUCGCACCAUUACAAAAUUGAUUACAUUUUUUAUUCAGAAUAGAUUACAUUUUUUUUUUCCUUUUCAAAACAGGUUAUUUUCACAUAUCCUUUGUAAUCCAAACACAACACUAGCUCAAUUCAAUUUCAGAUCAAAACGACCCUGACUGUACUAUUAUUAUCAAAAUCCACAACCAUAUCAAUCACAAAAUGGAAGCUUGAAUGAGAUAAAAAAAUAUUUAAAAACUUAUCACUUUUAUCUUAUUGAAUAUGGCUUCCAGGGAGAAAAAAGGGAAAAAUUGAUGGCGAAAUCUCUUUUCUACAUGAACAACAAAAACCCAGCACAAUGACACCAAAUACAAUCUAAUCCAAUUCAAUCAAACCAAUCUCAAUUCUCAUAUUCGACUUUAAUCUCAAUUCAAUCUCAUAAUUCCAAAUACAAUCUGCUUUGCUCAAUUCAGUUUCAAAACAAACGACCCGGACUGUACUAUUAUUAUCAAAAUCCACAAGCAUAUCAAUAAGAAAUGGAAGCUUGAAUGAGAGAAAAAAAAUAUGUAAAAACUGACCACCUUUAUCUUAUUGAAUAUGGCUUACAAGGAAAAAAGGGAAAAACUGAUGGCGAAAUCUUUUAUCAACAUGAACAACAAAAACCCAGCACAAUGACACCAAAUACAAUCUAAUCUCAAUUCAAUCAAACCAAACUCAAUUCUCAUAUUCCAAUCUAAUCUCAUUUUAAUCUCAUAAUUCCAAACACAAUAUGCUUAUAAGAAUGACCCCAACACUUGCCCACCGAUCACCAACACCCCAAAUCUAAAUAUUCUCAUAAUUCUAAUUCCAAUUCAAUCAAAUACCAAAGCAAAGCUUCAAAAUUAUAAGACUAAGCAGUCGAUUCCAUCAUCAGACAACUAGGAAUUAUUAGGUCAAGACCCCAAAAUCCCAAAAUCUAGAAAACACUAAAUCUUAAAUCCUUCGCCCAUGAGCGGUAGGUCUUGGGUUCGAGACUUGGGAGCAGCCUCUCCAUAAAUGGGGGUAAGGCUAGCCGACAUUCACCUCUCCCAGACCCUGCGUAAAGCGGGAGCUUAUGCACUGGGUACGACCUUACUUAGUGGUGGGAGGGAUCGAGCUAUCGACUUCAGUUGAGAGGAGAUGAUGGUUGGUGGUGGUCAGAGUCAGGAGAGAGAAGAGAUGUGGGGAGUUGAGACUUGAGAGGAGAUGGUGGUGGUGCCUGGUAGUCGAAGACUCGGAAUCCAGAGAGUAUGGGGGAUGGAGUUAAGACUCGGAGUCCAACGGGUAAAAUAAUUAAAAGAAAUUAUUUCAAUGUGUUUCAUAUUCUUUUAUAUAGUGUUCAAAUUUAAAUUCAACGACUAAGAUGAUUAAAUCCAACAGUUAAAAACAAAAUUGACGGUCCAAAUUUAAAUUCAACGGCUAAUAUAAUUCAAAUUCAGAAUCACCGGCUCUCUCUUUCUCUCUCGACUCCUUUCUGACUGUCAAGUCUCUGUCUCCUCUCGAAUUCUGUCUUUCACCUCCAACGGCUGCACUGCACAUGGUAAGAUAUUUCACCUUGAUUUUAAUUUGGGUUUCGUUUGCUGCUCGUGUUUCUGAUUUUGAUUUAAAAUUAGUUAUCAAUUCUAUAAUAGUUCAAAAUUUUGAGCUAUUAGGGUUUCGAUUUUGAAUUAAAAUUAAGGUUUCGUUUGCUGCUAGUGAUUAGAAUGUAGAUCAAUUCUGUAAUGGUGUAGUUUGAAGUCUAUUGCCCAGAUUAGCUCACCCUCACUAAAAGCACUAAUAGCUAUGUUUUUUUAAUCUUUUGUUAUAAGAUUUAUAUUUUUUUUUAUUCUUUUGUUUUAAGAUUGGGCUUUUUUGUUAUAGUUGAGGUCAUAUAGUUGACGGAUCUAUUUUAUGUGAUUGACAAUAGAAUUGGGAGGGACACUUGGGUUAAGUUGAUCACUGCUUGUUGGAUCUCUUUUAUAUGAUUGCAUGUUAUUUGGAGAGGAUGACCACUUGUUGCAUUACAACUACCAAUGAGACUUUCUCCAUUGGGGAUUGUGUCCUGAUUAAUCAUGAUAGUGCAAUAGUGAACGAUCAGCCAUGGAUGACGGUCAUCCCGUGUUUCAGUCAUAAUAAAAAGAAAGCGAUGGUGAGAUGGUUCUAUAGGUCAGAGGAUGCCCUUGAAAAGCAUCCUCCUUUCUUUGGAAAUGAUGAGCUCAUAUGGUCUAAUCAUCGUGAUCAUGUGAGCAUUGAUAACAUUCUCGGAAAGUGUAAUGUCCACACUCUUGAUGAGUACGUAAAACUCCAAACGGUAACAUAUGAGGAUUACUAUUGGAGAUUUAGGUACUUGCCUUCCAGGAAAGGGUUCGACAAUUUUCUUAUUCCUCUAUGAGUCUCUUUUAUCUUACGUUUUAGUUGAUAUGUGGUGUUUAUGGAUGAAAUUUGAUGUGCUGUUUAUUUGUUUAAUUAUUUUUUAAGGUAUUGCACUUGUCAGAUGCCGUAUAACCCAGAUAAUCUCAUGGUGUGGUGUGAGGCAUGCAAGGAGUGGUAAAGUCUUCAAAUUCUUUUCUUUCAAGUUGUUAUUGAUCAAUUCCGUCUACUUAUUACAUCAUAUGAAUUGCUCAUAAAGUUAUUUUCCUCUUUGACUUAAAGGUAACAUGCUGAGUGCGAGGGAAUGACUAGUUAUGAAGUAGAAAGGAUCAAGCCCUAGCAAUAUAUUUGCAUAAAAUGUUCAUCUGCAUGACUUGGAACUCUUUUAGAUUUUUUUUUAAAACUAAAUUGUAUUUGCAAUUACAAAGAGGUAUUUUAGUUGCUAUUUACUUUUGGAUGUGUAGAACUAAAGAAAGAUAAACUUGAAUCUCAAUUUUCAUGGAUUGAACCAUUUUUGUGUAUACAAUUUCUUGUUGGUUGAAAAAUAAACGUCAACCGAAAUGAUCAUGAUGAUGCAUGUGGAUCAAGAUGCUUCUCCCAAGCAAAAUAAGCAAUGAAUAGAAUGCUUAAACCUUGUGCUAAGCCAUGAAAAAUUGUGUGCUCAAAAGUAAUCCCAGUGGCCUGAAAUAGCCUACAAUUGGGAAAUUGAGCUUGUAAUAACAAGCAAAUAAUAUUAUGACCAUCUUGUAGAUAUAUCUAGGUUAGAUAGUCCACAAUUAGAUGUUGAUUAAGCUCACAAGUACAUUUUCAAAUUCUCAAGAAGAAAAUGGGGAUCUGAGGUCCAGACCUAAAUCAUAAUCAUUCAUUGAGAAGAACUCUGGAUAUGCAAGAUCCAAAAAAAUCUCUUCGAAAUCUUGUUUAUUACCCCUACAAUCUACACGACAUCAUUGAAUUGGGUCCGAGUACAACUUGUACCCAACUUAUGAUUUUGUUUUUCCAUUUGUUGAUUCCAUUAUUAAACAUGCACUUCGAUCUAGUGAGUAUCAUGAUCGCAAUGCUCAUAUUUGUGCUAUUUUGAUUACCUUAUCUCGCUAUCACUUGAUUCAUUAGUUCUAAAGGAAGUUCUAAUCACUACGAAAACAGCUUAAUAACAGUUGAUUAUCCCUAAAACAAAGAGGGCAAACAUAGAAAUAGUGUUUGUACUCAAAAUCCCAAUUGUGUAACACAUGGUUGUAAUCUACCCUGAUCUCAAAAUUUAAAAUUCGACACAAAAAUGAAAUUUGGAAUGAUUAGCAGGGAAAUAAGAGAGAAGCGUGAGCGAAUAUACCCAUGAGGCCUUCGGAUCCGAGUUCGGAGCUUGAAGGGCAGAGGUUGCAAACCCAGAGCAUGGAAGAAGCGGGAAGGAUUUUCCUCUGUGCUGCCUCGUGUCUUCUACUAUUUAUCCAAGCAUUGACUGUUCAAAUAUUGGGUAGUGGGUAAUCUUAAAACUGAUAUAAUCAUAUAGAAAUAACUUUGUUCAAUCUUUCAGGAUCUUAACAACAUGUCUUUCAACAAUAUUUGUGAUGUUGAUUUUGAAUCAUGUCUCUAUUUUAGAUUGAGAGAGAGAGCAUGAUUUAAGCGGGAACUAUCUCAGAUUCUCAGGCAAUUUUCCUAUCUAGCAAAUGGUUAAGACAGAAAAAUGAACCUUCGAUAUAGAAAACAUCGUAAGCUUACAAAAGCCACCAAAUCAAAGUUAUGCUUUUUUAUGUGCUUGUUUGCAACAUGGCAUAUUUAUUGCUUUCCAGGGUAUAAAUGGCUAUCAUGCAAAAUGAAAAAGAAGUUAAAGACUUCCAACAAUGGAGAGCAUACCACCAUCAUAUGUGAUCCAGGGCAACACCAUAAAAGCAUGCUAGAAUUAGAGAGAUGAGACUGGUGGCUAGUGGCAUAUUUUAAUUAGCAAAACCUCCAAGAUAAGUCGACCUCUCUGAUCAUAUGGGAAUUUGCAAAGAAAUGGAUUUCCCGUAGAUAUCUUUUGCAUCAUCAUAGUCAUUAUAAAAAAGGUAAACAUGAUGACAUGUUUCAGGACAGCAUACAUAACACAUGCAUAAACACCCCAAUUGCAAACUCUACAAUGAAAGGGACCAAAAUAAAAUAAAAACUUCCGUUAAACUAAAACAAUUACAAAAUCCAAAAUUCAAUUCUUUUUUUUUUUUUGCAAACUCUUCAAUGAAAUGGACCAAAAUAAAAUAAAAACUUUAGUUAAACUAAAACAAUUACAAAAUGCAAAAUUCAAUUCUUUCUUUUUUCUUGUGUCAAAAUUAAAUUAUUGUAACCUUCAUAAAUGCAUCAAUUUAUGGAUCCGGCCUUAUAUUCCUUUCCCUCUCUAACCGUACCAAAUCAUUCAUGUAUGCUACAGCAUAAAACAAUUGACAAAAACAGGGGAAGGAUAUCAACAGUGCUCGAUUGAGUACAUGAAAUAAUUGCUGGAAUUAAGAAUAUAUACGCAUUGAAAGUAACGAAAUUGCAAUUAACAAGAACACACCUACAUAGGCUUCACUUGCAUCUUGACAUCUAGCUGUAAAAUCCAAUGUUUCUCUUACGGUCAGCUCUGGAAAAUGAUUAUCUGUUCGGUGGAUUUAUGCCCCAAAAUUCAAACACCAGAGUUUCCUAAAAGCAAAAAAGACUGAAAUCAGACAAUCACACGUAGCAUCCGAGCACACAUACAAAACCCUCCAAAAUUACAACAUAAAAGCAAUUGUAGGCUCAUUGGAAAAGUGUAUAUAUAUAUAUAUAUAUAUAUAUAUAUAUAUUUUUUUUUUUUUUGUGGAAAUGCUAAUAGAUUCAUUUUCCAAUCCUCAAAUCUAUUUCCCCACAAAACCAAAAAAAAAAAAAAAUGUUAGUUUGCACCCCUCCGAAGCAAAGGGAAUGAAAGAAAGGAAGAGCAAAAUAAAAGACAAGGGGGAGUCUAAACUUGGACACCAAGCAUAAUAAGUACAACUACUGCUAAAACCAUUUGUCAGAUGAUAUGAAAUAUGAAUCAUGAACAUACACGCAAUAAAGUUUCCCUUAUGGAAUCCUCAAAUAAUCUGGUACAGACUGGAUCACCUAGAGAUUAAGAAAUAAUAGUCCUACUAGUAUAGAAGCAUGCAAAAGAAGCUCUAGGAAUUAGAAAAACAUCGUCCUCCAUACCUGAUGAAAUAUCUCAGGCUGCGAGGUGUAACCAUUUGCAGUUCAUUUAUCUGCAUCCCACACCAUGCAGCUUCACUAAUGACCAACGAAUUCAUACUGCAGUGCAUAGAGAAAAAUGCAACUGCACAUAAACUCUUAACUACAUUGAAAGUCAUGAUACCAAAGCAAUGAUGAAACUUCUUCACAUGAUAUCAUUUUGAACCAUACCAAAGCAUGUCAAUUCUAUGUGAUUUUGUUAAGAGUAAAUGUUCAUUUUCUAUGUUGUAUAUAUCCAUGUACCAACUUCAGAUCUACUAACUUUGAGAGAAAGAGAAACAAUUACAACAUUUUUCUAUGCAUGACGAUAAUAAAUAUGACUCAUAAAUAAUUUUGACCUUAAACAAAAGAAAAUGCUUAGGAAAAUUAAAUUUAACAGAGGUCCAUACCUGUAGCAGGGAAAAGAAUGGAUGUAUCCCUUCUUUUUUUCUUUUUUGGUCUGAAUGUAUCCCUUCCCUUUAAAGGUUGCACUGCCCAAGAAGUAAACUCGUCAUAAAUUAAUCAAAAAAAUGAAAGUAAAUUAUGCAUCACGAUGUAGUCAAUUUGGAUUUUAGAGGAUUUUAAUGGAUUUUUUUAAGUGACAAAUUUAAAAAGAUUUUAAUAGAUUUACAAUUCUAUGUAGAUUUUGGCAGAUUUAUAUGGAUUUCUAUUAUAGAUAUUUAUGGAUUUGAAUGGAUUUCUUAGGAUUUUAGUUGACUCCUACAACAUAAAAUAAAUAUUUUUUUUAGUACACAAUCUGAAAAGAACAUAAAUUGAAAGGAACAUAAACAUAUAUCUAUUGAUAUAGAAAUACAAACCAAUCAAAUAUGUAAAUAGAAUGGGGUAUUGAGAAUAUUGAUCCAAGAGUUUGAAUAAUUGUUAAGGAUAGCAUCUGCUUUAGAACAUCAUAGCCAUUCAAGAAUGAUGAUUUCAAGUUCAAGAACAGGAUAUCCAAUCAUGAAUAAUAAUAAUAUAUGUGAAAGAAUACCAAAUGAAAAUCGAAAUUGAGUAGGACAUAUUUGGGCAGCAAAAUCCUGGGAUAAAAAACAUUUUAACCAUGACCAAAAAAAAAAAACAUUUGAAGCCAAAAACAUGGACACUAAUUUGCAGAAAAAAGGCUUAAAUCAAAUGGGAAAAGCCAAACUUAGAAAAAUCAAAAGUGCAGAUGAGAGAAUCUCAAUUCAGAAAAGCACGAGUAUAAAGCAAAACAAUAUACAACUAUAAUCCAACAACAACAACAACAACAACAACAACAAAGCCUUUUCCCACUAAGUGGGGUCGGCUAUGAAUCCUAGAACGCCAUUGCGCUCGGUUUUGUGUCAUGUCCUCCGUUAGAUCCAAGUACUCUAAGUCUUUUCUUAGAGUCUCUUCCAAAGUUUUCCUAGGUCUUCCUCUACCCCUUCGGCCCUGAACCUCUGUCCCGUAGUCACAUCUUCGAACCGGAGCGUCAUUCGGCCUUCUUUGCACAUGUCCAAAUCACCGGAGCCGAUUUUCUCUCAUCUUUCCUACAAUUUCGGCUACUCCUACUUUACCUCGGAUAUCCUCAUUCCCAAUCUUAUCCUUUCUCGUGUGCCCACACAUCCCACGAAGCAUCCUCAUCUCCGCUACACCCAUUUUGUGUACGUGUUGAUGCUUCACCGCCCAACAUUCUGUGCCAUACAAACAUCGCUGGCCUUAUUGCCGUCCUAUAAAAUUUUCCCUUGAGCUUCAGUGGCCUACGACGGUCACACGACACGCCGGAUGCAUUCUUACACUUCAUCCAUCCAGCUCGUAUUCUAUGGUUGAGAUCUCCAUCUAAUUCUCCGUUCUCUUGCAAGAUAGAUCCUAGGUAGCGAAAACGGUCGCUUUUUGUGAUCUUCGCUAGAUUGCUCCGGUCAUUAGUGUGGAUAAGUAUAUAAAUGGAUAGAGAUAGGAAAGCAAACACAAGAUGUACGUGGUUCACCCAUAUUGGCUACGUCCACGGAAUAGAAGAGUUCUCAUUAAUUGUGAAGGGUUUACACAAGUACAUAGGUUCAAGCUCUCCUUUAGUGAGUACAAGUGAAUGAUUUAGUACAAAUGACAUUAGGAAAUAUUGUGGGAGAAUGAUCUCGUAAUCACGAAACUUUUAAGUAUCGGAGUGUGGUGUCGUCUUGACUUGCCUUAUCUGUCUCAUAGGUAGAUGUGGCAUCUUCUCUGGAAGUACUCUUCCUCCAUCCAGGGGUGGUAUCUUUAACUGGUGGAGAUGCACAAGGUAAUGUAUCAAUUUCACUUGAAGCUUACUUGUAGUUUCAGGCUUGGUCAAGCGCGAUACAAACCAUGUAGUAGGAGUCCCCCAAGUCGCCGAGCUAGGGGGUCUGCUGAAAGAGGUGACAGACAAGGUAAGCAAUCAGAGCUCCGACUGAUUGUUCACCUUCUCCCCAUCUUGCAGCAGCAUGAAGGAUAAAGAGAAGAAAAAUGAGAAGAGAUGAUAUGAGAUACUUUUGCUUUUGAAGAAGUAACUUUCCACAAGCUUAUUCUUGAACUGAGCUGGAGGGUUUUCUGGUUUCCUCCAGAGUAUAAGGCCGACUGAAGAAUUUGAGGGUCAAAACAAGUCCAUCAAAUCUAGAGUACGUUCCACCCUGCUGAUAUGGGAUACUUUUGCUUUUGACAGAGUAAUGGAUGUAUCGGCACGUGUGCUGUUACGCUUGUCUCCACAUGCUUCCUUGUAUCCUUCGCACUUGCCCUAUCUGUUCCUCAAGCAGAUGCGGAAUCUUCCCUGGAAACAUAAGAUGUUGAAGAUGAGUACUCGAGAGCAAUGCCAGGUAAGUAAUCAGGUAAGGGGUUCCAGGCAGUCAGUUCCUGGCUGGAAGCUUGAUUCCAAGUGCUGACUGAUUGCUCUCUUUCUCCUUGUCUUGCAGGUAAAAACAAGGCCAAAGGAAAAGACAGGGAAAAAGCAUGAUAUGGGAUACUCUUGCUUUUAACCCUGAUGAUAUGAGAUAUUCUUGCUCUAGUAUAGCUUGUUUACAGAGGUAUUAUCGGGGGGAAAGAAAGCUGAAUAUUUCGAAAGGCUUCGUUGGGAGUGCCCUCUCAGAUAUGAUGAAGGGUUGAGCAUUUUUGCAGGUCUGCCUGUCCGUUGGGGAUGGAGGUCGACAUAUAUAGGAGUCUCCCUAACAAGUAGUAAUGCUAUUCCUUUACCCUGCUUGGUCAUAGCACGGUAGUAGGGAGCUGCCAGUUUCACAUGUUUUAACUCUGUCAGAGCACUUUGAAAAAGUGGUCUGUGGUAUUUGGCUCUCGAGAUUCGGAGAACGAUGCCUCUUCGAUUUUUGAGAAAGCAAUCAUGCUGGGGGUCUGGCUCUCGAGAUUCGGAGAGCAGUGUCUCUUCAAUUUUUGAGGAAGUAAUCAUGUUGGGAGUCUGGCUCUCGAGAUUCGGAGGGCGGUGCCUCUUCGAUUUUGGAGCAAGCAAUUUUUGUUGGGAGUGUUUGUCUCGAAUGUGAGUAAAGGUUGGGCAUGUUUGCUAGUCUACCUUGCCACGAAGCACAAAGGUUGACACACAGGGACUUUCCAAUUAUCCAGCAAUGGUACUGUUCCUUUACCCUCUCUCUUCGAUUUUGAGAAAGUAGUCAUGUUGGGAGUCUGGCUCUCGAGAUUCGGAGGACGGUGCCUCUUCGAUUUUGGAGCAAGCAAUCUUGUUGGGAGUGUUUUCUCGAAUGUGAGUAAAGGUUGGGCAUGUUUGCUAGUCUACCUUGCCACGAAGCACAGAGGUUGACACACAGGGACUUUCCAAUUAUCCAGCAGUGGUACUGUUCCUUUACCCUUGUGGGUAAUAAUAUGGUAGCUAGACCUUCAAAAUUUAUGUGUCUAAACUUUGUUAGUGCUGUUUCUUUGCUAUUCUUUUACCUUUCUUGGUCAGAGCGAUGUAGUGGGAGCUGCAAGCUUCACGUGCUCAACUUUGGCAAAGUUAUCUGUGGUACCCAUGAGCUAUUGUUGCGUGUGGGAAGUGGGUGAUUGAACAGUAAGAUUCAUGUGCUUUCUACUUCACCAGAAGUCUUCGACAGAAUGCCCAUAAUUUCUGCAAAGCUGAGUGUGCGUGUGACAGGUGCUGACAAGGCUAGAAAAGUAGGUGUCUCUUCGAUUUCUGAGAUCGGCCCUCGUGGUCUCUGAGCAGCCCAGCUUUUGAGAAAGCGAGCGCCUCUUCGAUUGAUUCGGAGAACGAUGCCUCAUCGAUUUUUGAGAAAGCAAUCAUGAUGGGGGUCUGGCUCUCGAAGAUUCGGGGAGCAGUGUCUCUUCGAUUUUUGAGAAAGUAAUCAUGUUGGGAGUCUGGCUCUCGAGAUUCGGAGGGCGGUGCCUCUUCGAUUUUGGAGCAAGCAAUCUUGUUGGGAGUGUUUUCUCGAAUGUGAGUAAAGGUUGGGCAUGUUUGCUAGUCUACCUUGCCACGAAGCACAGAGGUUGACACACAGGGACUUUCCAAUUAUCCAGCAAUGGUAUUGUUCCUUUACCCUCUUCGAUUUUUAAAAAAGUAGUCAUGUUGGGAGUCUGGCUCUCGAGAUUCGGAGGACGGUGCCUUUUCGAUUUUGGAGCAAGCAAUCUUAUUGGGAGUGUUUUCUCGAAUGUGAGUAAAGGUUGGACAUGUUUGCUAGUCUACCUUGCCACGAAGCACAGAGGUUGGCACACAGAGACUUUCCAAUUAUCCAGCAGUGGUACUGUUCCUUUACCCUUGUGGGUAAUAAUAUGGUAGCUAGACCUUCAAAAUUUAUGGGUCUAAACUUUGUUAGUGCUGUUUCUUUGCUAUUCUUUUACCCUUCUUGGUCAUAGCGAUGUAGUGGGAGCUGCAAGCUUCACGUGCUCAACUUUGGCAGAGAACUUUGGCAAAGUUUUCUGUGGUACCCAUGAGCUAUUGUUGCGUGUGGAAAGUGGGUGAUUGAACAGUAAGAUUCAUGUGUUUUCUACUUCCCCAGAAGUCUUCGACAUAAUGCCCAUAAUUUCCGCAAAGCUGAGUGUGCGUGUGACAGGUGCUGACAAGGCUGGAAAAGUAGGUGCCUCUUCGAUUUCUGAGAUCGGCCCUCGUGGUCUCUGGGGAGCCCAGCUUUUGAGAAAGAGAGCGCCUCUUCGAUUUCUGAGAUCAGCCUUCGUGGUCUUUGAGCAGCCCAACUUUUGAGAAAGCAAACGCCUCUUCGAUUUCUGAGAUCAACCCUCGUGAUCUCUAAGCAGCCCAGCUUUUGAGAAAGCAAACGCCUCUUCGAUUUCUGAAGCUCCGUCGAGUGCAGAUUUUUAUAGGGGCUGGCAUUAAGUUCCAAAGCACACUUGAAUCUCCACCAGUAGAAGCUUCAUUCUUGCACUUCUAAGAUCUUGAUUUGUCCGACCUCUUCUCUCUUCAACACCUUUGAAAAUGUCUGGCCCCUCCGACCGUCGUUUUGACUUGAACCUUGUUGAAGAGGCAGCCCCGCCUUCUCCAGACAACAUAUGGCGCCCAUCCUUCGUCUCCCCUACUGGUCCUCUUACCGUUGGGGAUUCCGUGAUGAAGAAUGAUAUGACCGUUGCGGUGGUGGCCAGGAACCUUCUCACUCCCAAAGAUAACAGACUACUUUCCAAACGGUCUGAUGAGUUAGCUGUUAAGGAUUCGCUGGCUCUCAGUGUUCAGUGUGCAGGUUCUGUGUCUAAUAUGGCCCAACGCCUAUUUGCUCGAACCCGCCAAGUUGAAUCAUUGGCGGCUGAAGUGAUGAGUCUCAAACAGGAGAUUAGAGGGCUCAAGCAUGAGAAUAAACAGUUGCACCGGCUCGCACAUGACUAUGCUACAAACAUGAAGAGGAAGCUUGACCAGAUGAAGGAAACUGAUGGUCAGGUUUUACUUGAUCAUCAAAGAUUUGUGGGUUUGUUCCAAAGGCAUUUAUUGCCUUCGUCUUCUGGGGCUGUACCGCGUAAUGAAGCUCCAAAUGAUCAACCUUUGAUGCCUCCUCCUUCUAGGGUUCUGUCCAGUACUGAGGCUCCAAAUGAUCCCCCUCCGGUGCCUUCUCUUUCUGGGGCUCUACCGACUGCUGAGACUUCUCCUAAGCAACCUUUGUGAAGGCUCCCUCUUGUGUGUUUUAUUUGACUCAUGUAUAUGCACAUAUUUGUAGCUUAUCGGGGAUAUCAAUAAAUAAGCUUUCCUUCAUUUCAACGUAUUGUGUUAAAUACACCAAAGCCUUCUUCGCUAAGUUCUUUGAAUUUUCUUUUGUUGAAGCUUGUAUGUUGAAGCUUUCUGAGUGGAGCAUGAAGGUUGGGGUAGUGUUCCCUUAAUUUUCCGAGUGAGGAAAACUUCUCGGUUGGAGACUUGGAAAAUCCAAGUCACUGAGUGGGAUCGGCUAUAUGAAUCUUAGAACGCCAUUGUGCUCAAUCCUGUGUCAUGUCCUUCGUUAGAUCCAAGUACUCUAAGUCUUUUCUUAGAGUCUCUUCCAAAGUUUUCCUAGGUCUUCCUCUACCCCUUCGGCCCUGAACCUCUGUCCCAUAGUCGCAUCUUCUAAUCGGAGCGUCAGUAGGCCUUCUUUGCACAUGUCCAAACCACCGUAACCGAUUUUCUCUCAUCUUUCCUUCAAUUUCGGCUACUCCUACUUUACCCCGGAUAUCCUCAUUCCUAAUCUUAUCCUUUCUCGUGUGCCCACACAUCCAACGAAGCAUCCUCAUCUCCGCUACACCCAUUUUGUGUACGUGUUGAUGUUUCACCGCCCAACAUUCUGUGCCAUACAGCAUCGCCGGCCUUAUUGCCGUCCUAUAAAAUUUUCCCUUGAGCUUCAGUGGCAUACGGCGGUCACAUAACACGCCGGAUGCACUCUUCCAUUUCAUCCAUCCAGCUUGUAUUCUAUGGUUGAGAUCUCCAUCUAAUUCUCCGUUCUUUUGCAAGAUAGAUCCUAGGUAACGAAAACGGUCGCUCUUUGGUAUUUCUUGAUCUCCGAUCCUCACCCCUAACUCGUUUUGGCCUCCAUUUGCACUGAACUUGCACUCCAUAUAUUCUGUCUUUGAUCGGCUUAGGCGAAGACCUUUAGAUUCCAACACUUCUCUCCAAAGGUUAAGCUUUGCAUUUACCCCUUCCUGAGUUUCAUCUAUCAACACUAUAUCGUCUGCGAAAAGCAUACACCAAGGAAUAUCAUCUUGAAUAUGUCCUGUUAACUCAUCCAUUACCAACGCAAAAAGGUAAGGACUUAAGGAUGAGCCUUGAUGUAAUCCUACAGUUAUGGGAAAGCUUUCGGUUUGUCCUUCAUGAGUUCUUACGGCAGUCUUUGCUCCUUCAUACAUAUCCUUUAUAGCUUGGAUAUGUGCUACUCGUACUCCUUUCUUCUCUAAAAUCCUCCAAAGAAUGUCUCUUGGGACCCUAUCAUACGCUUUUUCCAAAUCUAUAAAGACCAUGUGUAAAUCCUUUUUCCCAUCUCUAUAUCUUUCCAUCAAUCUUCGUAAGAGAUAGAUUGCCUCCAUGGUUGAGCGCCCUGGCAUGAACCCGAAUUGGUUGUCCGAAACCCGUGUCUCUUGCCUCAAUCUAUGCUCAAUGACUCUCUCCCAGAGCUUCAUUGUAUGACUCAUUAGCAAUUCUCAUCUUCCCAAAGGAAUAAACCAAGAGCAUGAAUUCAGAAAAAUAUAUAAACAAGGCGAAAACGGGGAGUCUUCUGGGAAAUGCUCUAAACUCAUGGUAAGACUGUUCACCUUCUAUGGUUUGGUGUGAAAAGAAAUUUGAGGGGGGGGGUUGGAUUGUUAAUAGCAUUUGGUAUUUAUAUCACCCACUCUCAAAUCCCUUAAAAUCCUUCAUUCACAAAAAUCCUAGCAAAUCUUUAACAUUUCCACUACACCUAGAUUUGUAUGGACUUUUUAAACUUUUAAUUGACUACCCAUGAAUUUGGAUGUAUUCUUUAAAUCCUCCUAUAUCCUAAUUUGACUACACCAUGAUUUUAAAAUAUUUUAAAAUCCACAUUCAAACUUCUAAUUAACUACUCUGAUUUUAAAGUCCGUUAAAAUACUAUCAAAUUCUAGUUUGACUACACCUCUUACUUUUCCGGCAACUUCUUGCAGUGAAGAAGGGGCGAAAAGAAAUUCCUGGAAAUUAGCUUACCUUACUUCUCCCUUACUCUUUCUCCCUGAACCCAUACCAAACAGAAAUCGCCGAAAAUCCUCUCCCCUACCCUCUGUCACUUGGCGAAUUACAGAAAUGCAGCUGUUGGAUGUGGAAUCAAGCAGGGAAAAUGGUAAUUUCACUACCCCACUCUCACUCCAGAGUCAAAGAUCCGCACCAAAUCUCUCUCACUCUCUCUGUCUCUCUCUGCAAGCGACAUUGCUGUCCCCCUCUGUCGGCUCUAGAAUUCCCUACCCAUCAAUCCAAAUUCGUCCCAAAAUUAAGAUGACAAAAGUGCCCUGCAGCCCUUCAAUCUCAUCCGCGUGAUCCUAACCCUAGAUAGAUAUUUCCGUCAUUUAAGCACCCUAAGGCAUACAAGUAUGUUCAUUCUUGUUACAAGAAAGCAGCAUACUUGAGAGCCUACACUCCUUAUAUCCAAUCCAUGCCUAGUCAAGAAUUUUGGUCACCUACAAAUCACCAACCCGUUGCACCUCCAAAGUAUCAUAAGCAAGCUGGUAGGCCAAAGAAGCUGAGGGCAAGAGAGAAAGAUGAGCCACAACCACCAUCAACCUUAAACAAAUUGCCUAAAUGCUUCAGUAAGGUCACUUGUGGAAUGUGUGGCAAGAAAUGUCAUAAUUGUACAACAUUCGGGAAGAAGCAACGACAAGCUUCACAGGUAAAAGUAGCUUAAUGCUUUCACUUAUCUGCAUUUUUUUUUUUUUUGAAAACUCACUUAUCUGCAUUUUUAGUCACAUAUGGUUGUUAUAAAUUGGGGAAUAUCAUCUCAUAGGCCUAUGUAGAAGCUGGGAGAGGACAAACUUGUGGGACAAAUGAAAUUGGCCAUAACUCACCAACUACUAAAAGUGGGCAAACACAAGCAAUGGUGUGCUCACUGAAAACUUUCGUAUUUUAAAUUUUAGUCUUGUAUUUAUAGACGGAUGUAUGUGUAACUUUUUUAUUGAUCAUUUUGUAGCAUGCCACUGGAGGAAAUAUGGGAAGUGAAACUCCACCAAAUCAGGGACAAGAACAAUCUGCAUCUAAUGCAAGUUCUUUUGACCUAUGUCUUUGUCCCUUUCUCGUGUGUGCUUUUAUAACCCAAUGCCAUCUGUUAAUUUUUCAGGUUUUUUAUUAUUUAUUAUUUUUAUUAUUUGUAGGUUUCUAAAAGGCGUAGUGUGAAAUGAAAUGCAAAAGGCAAGUCAGUGCACAAUUCAAGAAAGCCACCUGAAAACUGUAGAAUCUGAAGGAAAUCAUUUGGAAAUUUAGACUUUUUGUUAAUGUCAAUUUUUUUUUUUUUUUGAUGAAGACAAUGUUGUGAACUUUAAGCCCUGUUUUUUAUUUUGAACAUAAUUAAGCAAUGAAAUAAUAUUUUUGAUAUGGUAGCAAUCAAAUGAUCAGGCAUUGCAUUCUGUUAUGGUUGCUCAAAAUAUGUUUAAGAUACAAUAGUGGGUGUGUUCAGUUUAGCAUGUCACAAAAUCAAAUUUUAUAUGGGCUCUGUAAUAUAAGAAACGGGUUGAGAUUGGUGCCAUAAAUGGAGUUGUAGAUGCAUAUGCGCUACUCGAACACAACUAUCCACAUGAAUACUCUCUAACAAAAUUUUAAGAGUUUUACUAAAGAAAAGUAAAAACUUGUUAAAAGAUCUUAAAAUGACAUAAAUAACCCCGAACAAAGCCAUGUGUGAGGCACAUGACUUAUUUUGGAUGGAAAACUUAACGGAGUAAGAGUGAGAUGACAAAUUGAUGAUUUCGACAAGUUGGUAUGAUAAAUUGCUUAAAAUUUUAGUUUAUAUGACACAUUGAAAAAGAUGUACAAGUUCAUAUUAUAUUUCAAAAAAAUUCCUUGGAAAAAUUAUGGUCCCUACGUCCAACCAAAUAAUAAGGUUUUUGAUGAGAUAAUGCAUGCCAACUUGAGCAUUAUAAUGUUCAUGAUUUUGUUUGAGUCUAUACAUAUAUUUACUCCGUAAACGUAGAUUAGGUCGGUUGGUAAGCCAUUGUAUCUGUCACGUUUUUAUAUUUAAGUUUAAAUUAUUCUCUCGUAACUCGUAAGUUAUAGCUUCUAAUACCGUCUUAACAAAACUAAAUAUACUUAUUUUUAGUGGGAUAUAUUUUGCUUAAGUAUGCAUGUUUGCAAGAUUAAAUGAAAACCUCCAAAACGUAUGGGGUUAAAUUGAAUUCUAACCACCACCACCACCCCCAUAUAAUUAGGGCAAAAGGCGAAUUUAGGAGGGCUCCUGUUACAGCCCAUCCAUAAUUUUUUUUUGUUAAAUGUGUAACGAUCAAAAUGCCCUUAGAGGGUAUGUGUCGACUUUCAUUAACUUACUGGACAGGUCACGUGUGACAUAUUAAUUAGUAUAUUCUGACAGCAUUCGUUAUUAUGAAUGACUGAUCAUAAGCAUAGCGAAAAUUAGAACUAGAAGCAAGAUUUUAUGAAAUAGUAUAAAUCAUUUUAUUUAAAGUAAUGGAAAAGAUAAUAACACUAGAUAUAAAAUAUGAAUGAUAGAAUAAAAUAAUUUUUAAAAAAAAAAGAUGAAAAGAUGAGAGGUGGAGAAGGAUCGGGAAGAAACGAAAAGAAGGGAAAAGUGGAGAAGGGGGAAAGAAACUUUUCUUCUUCUUCCUUCUCCUUCACUCACGGUAUCCCUUUCAAACUAUUUUCAUCAUAAUUUCCUCAUACGAUAACGAAAUCACAUGAGGUGGGAAGCUAUAGUUUCGUAGCAAGGCCGUCUUCAAUCUUACCAUACCCACCCUUUCAAAACCAUUGUAUAAAGAAAACGAGGUCCAAAUAUAUUGACGUGUUAUGGCGACUUUUCUCUGAUUUCGGGCAAUCCCACUGGAAUCUAGCUCGACCCAAGUGAAAAUAAUGAUUUUCCCCUCGUGGGCUCUCCUCUAGCGUAAGCAUUUUUCCAAGGUUUUAACUUUUAGUUUUGGGGUCAAUUCAUGGUUUCGAAUUUUAAUUCGAUAUUUUGUAUGCAUAUUUGAGAUGAUGCUUGUUGUAUUGUUUAGGAGUUGAAUCGGAACCGGGUAGUCAUGUUUGGUUGCAUAUAUAAGGAAGAACAUUGAAAUCCUAACCUCAAUUCGAUUCUCUUUAGAAAUUUAAGGGUUGGGUUUGUGUUAUAAGCAUUAAUGUUAUUCCAUAAUCGAGGCCAGAUACGUUGGAAUAUUUUGUGUGCCAUAUUUGUCCUACCCUUUAUGCACUGAAAAGAACAUUGCUGAAAUUGUAUGUGUUGCAGCCUAGGUUUGUCACGCCCCGAUCCCGACAUACGUUCAUGAUGGACACGUGACGUCAUCAAAUAACCAUAUAUCUAACAUACCCGUCUUUGGGAUAUGUACCAAGCACAUCCCAUACCUCGAAUUGCGUAGUCAUUUUUUUUUUGUACACUUUAUGGCUGCAUCUAACCUCCCGUUAGACUGCCUACGUACCCUCAAUAGGGAUCAAGCCAUUCGUAGUUCGUCAUUCACUAAUUUAGACAUUUAUUCUAGUACGUUCUAACAGGAAUACGUAGCAUUCUGUAAUUAAUUAUUAGAACUUGACAUGCAUGACAUUACCAAGUUCAAGGCUACAAAACAAACCAACAUGCCAUUGUCAUUCCACAAUCUUGUCAAUCGAUCAAUUCAUAAAUCAAAGAUACAUGAUCUUAGCAUUUAAUUAUGUUAAUCAAUGAAUGCAAUAACAUGUCAUUUCACAAAAUUAACCAAGGAACUCUAUAUAAUUUCCUACUUGGAUUAUGAGCAAUAACAUGGUAAAUCUAUUUUAUAUUCGCAAGGUCUAUUGUGGAUAACUCUCAUUCAUUCGAAUCUAGGCUUCUAGACUAACCUUAUGGGAAUGAGCAAGAGCAAGGAUUCCGGACCACUCAACAGAAUCCAACAACACUGAGUUUCGGACCACUCAACGAAACCAAAAUAUCAAGUGGUUUCUUAUAAUCUAUCCAGGCCUGUCAUAUGUAAAAUCAGUGCCAACAUCAUGGAAAUGGUGCACCGACCAAACAGAACUCGGAUAAGCUGCGAAGCUCGGGUGAGUGACAAUAAUACAAGUAUGUGAUAAUCAAUAAAAACAAAGACCAUUGAUCAGAGUUUAUAAACCUCAAUAUAAGUUCGUAAAUAUAAAAACAUAGUCAAGUCUCUAACAACUCUGAAUGAGUCAUCCAGACAUCCAACGGCUUUUCCCAUUCAAACCACCAAGAUUCUCAAAAACCAUCAUUCAUAUGUACAUUAAAAACUAGGGCUAGAGGGAUGUAGUUCAGCCGAAGCCUACAUAAGUAACCAAACACGAAGUGGCCACCCAAAGCGGAUUAACCAAGCAGAGCCACCCCUGAGAAAGUAACCAAGUAGGCAAUGACCCUCCAAUGCGGAUUAACCAAGCAGAGUCACUCAUAUAGUUGUUAGGAAGUGAUCACCCAAUGCAGAUUAACCAAGCAUGAUCACUCAUAAGCAUACAUGGCCAUAAGGAUCGCCCAACGCAGAUUAACCGAGCGCGAUCCACAUAUAGUAUGGUCCCCCAAUGCGGAUUAACCAAGAAGGACCACUAGUGACCCCCCCAAUGCGGAUUAACCAAGCAGGGUCAAGAUAAUUAGGUAGGUAGUGACCCCGAACGCGGAUUAACCAAGCAAAGUCACACCUACAGAACUGUUAGGCAGUGAUCACCUAACGCGGAUUAACCAAACAUGAUCACCCCUAAGUAUAAAUGGCCAUAAGGAUCACCCAACGCGGAUUAACCAAGCGUGAUCCAUAUAUAGUAUGGUGCCCCAUGCGGAUUAACCAAGCAGGACCAUCGAUAUACCAUUGCUCCAUGGUGCAGGAAAUUUAACACAUAAUCUACCCACAACUCAACCCCUAUGGGUUACAACGUAGUCACUACACCAUCAACUUCUCAUGGCCACCAACUAAUACAUCACACAAUCAUAUAAAUUCUACAUAAUACUUCUAAUAGGAUUCUAAGAUCACAUAGUCAUAGCAUUUAUCAUUCUUAUCAUUCACAUUGCUAAAAAGAGAUAAUUAAACACACGUAUAUUACAAUCAUCAAUACACAAGCCAAAUCACGUAUAGCUAAAUAUAUAUAUAUAUAUAUAAAAAAUCACAUUUCAAAAGAAAUUACAUUUAUAAAACCAAGUCAUAUUCACAAAUGAUAUUAAUAUAAGAAAUUAAGGUAAUAACCAUAUCACAUAUAUUCAAAUCACUCUCUAACCAAUGGUUCACUAGACUUCACUUAGUCUCCCGUAGUACCAAUUUUAGUAUCCAAAACGUUUCGGGACAUGUUGACCAAAAGUCAACUCUCGAUCAACGGUAGGGUUCGCAACUCCACGUAAUUCAAUCCGAAAGAUCUGCCGAUCCGAUUUUGGAUCCGUAAGUUCUUAGGUCCUUAUUAUUCUCAUAGAAUAACAUACUAAAUUCUCAUUGAGAUCCGACGGCCGGAUCUCCGCCAAUUUCUAGAAUUAGGUGGCGGUCAACAAUAAGUUUUACAAACUUAGAAAUUCAAUUCGGGAAAAUCCGUACUUCGGAUUCCCGAUCCGUCAAUUUCUAAUGUCCUAAAAUAUUAUGUGUUAUAAUGCACUAAAGUUUGGAGACGAUCCAACAGUUGGAUCAUCAAUUCGUAUAAUGAUCAAGUGAUGUAUCAUAAUGAAACUAGGUUCAAUUAAUCAAAUCACAUUAUUCGGAUAUCAAAUAUGAAAUUAGGGCAUCUAAUUGGACUUAGAAAGACAUCAUCGGUCCACCGCCGCACGCGCCGCCGCACACGGCGGCCUGUCGUCCCAACUUGCAGGAAAAUUCAACUAACUCCAAAAAUUAUCAAAUUUUACAGGCAAGUAGAUUUCAAUAAGAGGAACAACUUUCAUACCUGGUCCAAAGUCCAAUUCAGCCGGGAAGUGGCCUGAAAACUCCUCCAUCAGCCAGAACCCUAGAAAUUAGGUGCGGUUCAAUUCAAUGUCAAACUCAACUCCACCGCCUCCAAUGUUGAUUGGGCUUUGUUCCUGGACUCUAAAGACACUUGAGGGUGGUGAUGGUUGACGGAAAUCCCUUCGAAAAUAGGCGGAUCGCCGUCAUGGCUUCGGAACACCCACUGUCAGUUCUUCACCAAAUUACCCUAAAUUACUUCGAAUAGGGAGUGGUGAGAUAAAGCUUGGGCAUGUGAAUUCGGUCCAAUUUGAUGGAAAUCCAAUGGAAAACCAUCAGAAAAUAUGGUGGAACAAGUCGGGUGCGCGGGUCAAGGGGAAACUCGAUUUCCCCCUCAUUCUCUCCUUCCCUCAUUUCCCCUUCUUUCUUCCUCCCUCAUUCGCUACCUCCUUUCUCUAUCCUCCUCCCCUUGGCCGAAACUCUCCCCUUUUCCUCUUGAAACUCCCUUCUUCUUUCUUUUCUUCCCUUUUUUUUAAUUGGCUGCUGCCUAACCUUUUUUUUUUGUUUAAAUCUGAUUGGUCAUUUCCCUCUUCUAACCAAUUGGUCCUUUAACCCAAAUAUCGGUAUGGGCCUCUUACUCACAAAGUGGGAGAUAAUUAAUUCCUAAAAUCUAUAGUAUCACAACUUUAAACGUCGGUAAUUAUACUGUUAUAAUCCGAACUCGCAAACGGCUUUCGCUUGUGCGUUCAUGGGAUCGAGCUCUAUUCAGAAAUAUAAAUUGUGACCUCGAAAGAUCUACGGAUUUUAAAUAAUUAAUUUCCAAACUUCAAACUUCGUAACUGGUUUAAUUAAAAUCUAAAUUCAAAUAAAUUACUAUAAAUUCCCAAAAACAACAUAAAAUUUCAAUAAUAAUAAUGCGUGGAUUAUAACAGUGAAAUCCGGGAACGAGAUUUCACAAGGUUUGUGCAGUUAAUUAGAGUUCUAAAACUACUGAAUGGUUCUUUAUUCUUCCCAUGGCAUAUUUAUUCUUCCCAUGGCAUUGCCAGAUGUUGAAUAUUUGAUUGGACAAUGUUAUUAUUAGAGUAUUAUAUGACUUUUGUUUUGGCUGUGGAUUUAUUGGUGGUUCUUUAUUUCAUUCUUUCAGCGGAUGAAGAGCUUAAGACUGCUAGGAAUUUACAUUUUUAUUUUGAGGCACUUGAAUAAACAAUUUGGUUUUUCUAUAAUAAUAAUUAAGGAUCAUUGAUGGUUGGGCUAGUGUACUAGUUACGAAUAAUUAUAUGAAUGUUAUAGUUUAUGGAUUGCAUGUUAUUCUAUGGCCUGAGAACUAGUUCCUUGGUUAAGAUUAAUGGAUUAUCAAACAUUAUACAUAUUCUCUAAUUGAAUACAUUACUAUGUUUAUGAGUUCAAGAUCAAUUUAUUAUGGCUGGUAUAGAUAUCAAUAGUUGACAUAUCCAAUUUGGUGUGGUUACUUUUCGUUUAAGUAUUUCACGCUUAUACGUAUCAUGUUGUUUGCUUAAAUGAUACAAUGGAUGUCCUAUUAGGUGUAAAUGUCUACAUGCAUGCCUAUUCUGAAACCAAAAUCAAGUUGAUGGUUCAUGUUUUGAAGUUAUAUAUAUGUGUGAGUGUGUGUGUGUGUGUGUGUGUGUCUCAUAUGCCUAGACAAGCUAUACAAAGAAAGUAUACCGUUUCUAUUAGUUAUUCUGAUUACAUGUACGUAGUAAUGACUUGCAGUGGUGAUAUGAGUUUAUUGAAAUGAUAAACCACAAAUGACUUGAUCCCUUUAGGGUAUGUAGGCAGUCUAACGAGGAGGUUAGAUGCAGCCAUAAAGUAUACUAAAAUUACUACGCAAUUCAAAUCUUGAGUUAUGCUUUGUACAUAUCCCGGAGGCGGGGUAUGUUAGAUAUACAGAUACUUGGUGACGUCACGUGUCGAUCCUGGACAUAUGUCGGGAUCGGGGCGUGACGGCUCAUUUCAAUCAUUUUGUACCCCUACAUAUUAUUGUGAUUCAAUGAAGCUCCCCAUUAAAUGAAUUGCACCAAAUAGGGGAGGCCUUCGCGGGAUCUCUGUGUCCGAAGCCGACAAACACAGAGAUCCAAACCACUCAUUUUAAAUUAUAUGGUUCUUAUUAGCUCAUUCUAAUGGCCUUCCUCACACAAACCACUGAGUUUAGAUCUCCCUCUCUUUAACUACCUUGGAUAUGGGGUCACUCUUUAACCACCACCACCCACCCACAACAAAAGUACAACUAUAAGCAAAGUUGUAUGAGGGGUCGCUCUAAAAUUGAUCUUAAAAUUAAAUAGUCCGUCGUUCCAAAAAUUGUUUUGGCAAUAUUGCAUUUAAAAUUAUCUGACAAUAUAACAUUAUUCCGAAAAAAAUUUGUAUAAAUUAUAAGUUCAAACAAAAGACACUAUAUAGCUUAUUCUUGACUAUUUUAGGUGUAUAUAUACUCCAUUGCUGAAAAUUCUACUAUGCUCAUCAUAAUUCUUGCCAAUUGACCAGGCAAUUGGGUUAAAUUACCUUUGACCAAAAAUAUGAUGGUCCGUCGAUGCCAAAUUGGGCAGGCAAUUGUUGGGCUCCAAGAAGCUCGUUGAACUACCCUUGCAGCCCGUUGGCAAUAAGUAACGACGGGCCUGACGUCAAGUAGCUGGAGGCUGACCUUAACCCCGUGCACCAAUGUUGAACCAAACAGCUCUAAUUUGGGCGCCCCACAACUAUUGGAUUUUCAACAAUUUGUUGAUCCGGACUAUUAAAUUUCAAAAGAUACAAGUAAUUUAAAAGAUGAUGUUGUGCCACGUGGCACUUUGUGGCGCAUUUGAUAUUAAAAUUUUGAAAAAUUCAACGGUCAGGAUUAAUCCCACGGUAAAAAAUACAAAAAAAAAAUUAGAAAAAAUUUACAACAAAAAAUAUCUAAAAAAACUUUCAAAUUUCACACUUAAACAAAAAUCUGAGCUGAUAUUACUAAUAGAUAAAGACACGUGGUGCGAUGAAAGUGGUUGAAAAUGGAAAAGUAUCCUCUCCGGCUCCCUUCCACCAAAUCCACCAAGUUCAAAGAUCCGAGUAAUUUAAAUUUGAUCAAACGGCUACAAACAAAGUUCACUAUAAAAGUUAUAAUAGAUUUGAUCAAAUUUCAAGGGCCGAUCCGAACUUGUGAAUUUGGCGGAAGGGAUCCGGAGUCAUUUCUGUUGAAAAUCUCAUCGCCUCUCCUUUCAGCCCUUCAAGGAAAACCCACUUCUUGGGCCGUCUUCAACCACGUAAAGCUUCACUCUUAUAUUAGUUUCGGUGUUUAAAAUUGUUGGGAUUUGCAGUUUUGGAUUGAAAUUUGUGUUUUGGGAUUUGUUGGGUGCUCGCAUGUGUUAAUUUGGAAAAUUUUAGUUGUGGAUUAUGGGGAACUGAUGUAAUGGCGAUCCCGUUUCAUGUAAGUUGCUUUUGUUGAUGUGUUUUUGGUGAAAUAAUGACGAGGAGGGUUGGAUAGUUUGGCUGGUUUUAAUUUUUUUUUGUGAAAUUAGAGUGGGAUCAAUCAAGGUUGAGACUUUUUAAGGUAAGAGUUAUUGUGAAAGUUAUGUUUUUACAAAUUUUUGGGCAAAUUUUGUGACUUGGUGGAUUUGGAAUUUUGGUUAUAUUAGAUAUAUGUGUAAAGAAAAUAGUUGAACUGCAUGAAGCUUGAGGGGUAAUGAGGGUUUUAGGUAUUUAGUGACAUUCAGGCCAUGCUUGAUGUCUAUUUGAUGUCGGUGUAUCGGAAAUGCUUGAACAAAGAAGAAAGGUGCUCGAAGAGCUGCAGUAGUUAACUACUUGGUUUGAUUAGAUUGCUAUGUUAAUCAAAAUGUCCCCUGUAGUAUGUUUAUAGGGUUAAAGUUUUACUUUAGCGUUCUUUAGCGACUUGGUUUCAAAAGUUCACUUUCCUUGGUCUGUGAGGCCAAUGGUAGAAUGAUCAUGGAAAAAUGAAAUUGUUCUGUCUUAAUUUUGUCUGGUAAGAGCGGGUAUGCAUUCUUACAGGACUCGUUUGUCAUUCUUUUAAGCUGUUUAAUGUGCUCAUUUCAGUAUGCAUCAUCCAAAGUCUUUAACCGCUCAAAGUAGCACUACAAGGGCCAGGGAGCUAUCAUCUGUUUGUAAAUAAGAGCUAUAGACAUGUCCUAUAAGGUCAAUAGGUCUCAGUUGCAUAUCUAACUUGUUUCUCAUGUGUUUUCAUCCUAAAGGUUAGAAAAGGUGGGUGCUCUAGACACGCAAGGAGUGGUUCAUCAACACCAAGGGAUGGCGGCUGAUCUCAUGUAUGUGGUUACAUGCUGGAGUUUUCCAUGUGCUUGCCAAUAUGCUGAGUCUUGUAUUCAUUGGAAUUCGGCUUGAGCAAGAAUUUGAAUUUGGUAAGCAUCUGGAUUUUUAGCUUCAUGUAUGUUAUCAUGCAUGUAUGGCCACAUCCAUAAGUGAUUGUAGUAAAAGAUAAUACAUAUAUAUAUAUAUAUAUAUAUAUAUAUAUAUAUAUAUAUAUAUAUAUAUAUAUAUGAGCAAAAAGCCGUCUCAAAGAAGGAGAACGAAGCUUUAAUCUCAUUGGCUACUACAUAAUGGAUAAAAAGGUCGUACCUAGUGCACAAGGCUCCUGCUUUACGCAGGGUCUGGAAGAGGUGAAUGUCGGCUAGCCUUACCACCAUUUAUGGAGAGGCUGCUCCCAAAUCUCGAACCCGAGACCUACCGCUCAUGAGCGAAAGCACUUGCCAUCGCACCAAGUGCGACCUCUAGCUACUACAUAAUGGAUGCAUCAAAAAAAAAAUCCACACAUAUAUGACAUUAGCGUAAAAUUAUAUGAAAUGGGUUCAGUCUAAAACUUGUAACAAGCUAAGUUGUACAUUUCUUGAAUUCAUCUGGCAAAAGGCUAGUUCUGUCUUAGCUAACUUUGUAAUAUACUUCUACUAAAGCAUGCCAACAAUCUAAGUUUAAGUUCCUAUUACUACUAAGGCAUUCCAUCUUUCAACUCUAAAUCUUAAGAAUAAUCAGAAAUCCACCAACUUUAAAGAUAUUUGACCCUCCCACAACAUGGAAUUGAUGGUUUACAAACACAGUAUCAAACAGAAAAUAGUAUUGCAUAUGAACAUGAUUUGAACGAAAUAGGAGCCAGAAGAAAGAAAUGCCCACCAUCCUGUCAUGAACUUUUUUGAUGCCCAACUUCUAACAAUUUUGGAAAACGUCUGCACAGAGAUAAAAAGAGAUUAGAAUGAUUGUUAUGAAGAUUAAGAAAAAGGAGCACAAACACUCAAAGCAUCGGAAAACUUAUGCCCCAACUUAGGCCACCAAAAAGUAACAAACUUUGACACACUGUAACCGUUUCUUCUUCUCCUUCCGAUUCAGAGUGUAUUAUGCGUCUUGCCUAGUUGUAUUAUGUUGAAAAGUUGGACUGGGCAUUCAUAUGGCUUCCCUUUCUCCGGCCAAAACCAAACAACAGCUUGCUCAUCCCCUGCAAUUAAAAUACAACAAAAAAAAUCAAAAGAAUAAGUUAAAAUUUAAAAUCUCAUCUGGGUACGUUGGGUUCGAUAUUUUAUCAAUUGUUGUUUCUGAGUUGUGUUUUUUGCGGAUUUUCACAACCAAAAAUAAACCUUAAUACCCAGACCUAAAUUCUUGUUCGGAUUUUAUUAGAUUUUUUAUACCGUAUAACUUACCAAUUUCCAUUGUGUUUGAGAAGAUAAACUACUUUUGUAAAGAACUUUAGAAUUCUAAAUUAGGAUAAAUUGCUUAUCUUUAGCAAAAUGGAUUCUACUGCUAUUCUUCACAGGCGACGGUGAAUGUUUGGGUGCCGCUGCUGGUUGGGAUUGCGCUAGUUGUUGCACACGCGGCGUUGAGGUGGACCGAUGGGUUGCCGUGGACAAAGAGAGCUCUGCGUUGUUGACUGGUUAUUCGGCUCGAUUAUGCGAAUUCAUGGAUUUGGAUGAAUCAGUGAUGGCGGUGGUUUGGGUAAACUAUUUGGAGAAACAAUUUACAGCGUCACACGGUGGGGAAGCAUCCAGAAAUCAGGUGGGUCGACAGACUGAAACGGUGGGGCAAGGAAGAAUUCAGAAAUGAAGUAAAAGACCAAAGAAUAAUAAGGGGGUGUAUUCAAUUAUUGGUAUUUUAAGAGCUUUUAAUUUUUUUAAUGAAUAUAGGGUGUAUUCAAUUACGAUUUUAAAAAGGUUCACAAUAUUACAAAUGUAUUCAAUUAGUAUUUGAUUUUAAAGAAUUUUAGAAAGUUGAGUAAUUAUAGGAAAUUUGAGAGAUUUUGUAGUAUAUUUUAAGCAUCUAUAAAUCUCUUAUCUUCCCAUGAGAUUUCAAGGUAAUUAAAUUAAAAUUUUACAUAAAAUCUUUACAAAUCAAUUAAACUUCAUAAAAAUCCAUGAAUUUAUAAACCUUUUAAAAUCUCAUCAAUUCUCAAUUGAAUACACCCUUUUAAAGCAGGACUCAAGAUGGAAUCUCAUUGUACAAUAUACAGUAACGACAGAAACAGAGAAAGAAUAAAAAUGGAAUAACACUGUAGAAUAAACAGUGUUUUAGGCAAUUUUCUCUUUUAGUGUGUGUAUAUAAUUUGCAUAGUAUGUAACACUGAGAAAAAUGACACGUAAUAUAACAACAACAAAACACUAAGAACUACUAAAUCUUAUUCUAUUAUGCAUGGGUUAGCCGUAUAAAUUCUAAAAUUUCACUAAGCCGGUUUGGUGAUAAGUUUUUCGUUACCAUCGUACUCCAUAUCUUUCUUACCAUUUCUUCCCAAAUGUUCUUACUUCCUCUACCCUCUGAACUAACCCAAGAAACAUAAAUUUUUUUUUUUUUAAAAAACCCCAAAAAGUAGAAAAAAAAGAGGCAAACUUCAGAACCCAUUUCAUUCAAUUUUUCCCACAUUUUGAUUUCGAUGAGAUUCGAAUCAAAACCCAAAUGGGGUUUCUGGGUCUGAAUCCAAAUUUUUGAUUGAAGACAAAAAAAACGAAAAAAGGGGAGAUUUUUAUGGAGAGAGGCCAACCUGCUGCGCCGAGCAGCUUAGAGAUAAAGGUGGUGAGUCCACGGCGGAGCGACAACGUUGUGCACCCGGCGGGACAGCCUCCGGAGACGACGACGCCGCGGCAAUCGUUCAGCGACUACAGCCCGUUGAAGAGGUGGGUGUCAUGGCUGGUGCCGUCGAUUGUGGUGGCCAACAUUGUGGUUUUUGUGGUGACCAUGUUCGUGAACGAUUGCCCCAAGAACUCCGACACUUGCAUUGGUCGGUUCCUCGGCCGCCUCUCCUUUCAGCCCUUCAAGGAAAACCAUGUAAAUUUUUCACUCUUUUAUUUGUUGGGGUUUGGAGUUUUGGAUUGAAAUUUGUGUUUUGGGAUUUAUUGGGCAUUUACAUGUGGAAAUUUGGAAAAUUUUAGUUGUGGAUUGUGGGGAACUGCCGUAGUGGCGGCGAGCCCGUUUGUGUGUUUUUUGGUGAAACUAUGAUGAGGAGGGUUGGAUAGUUGGAUUGGUUUAGUUGUGAAAUUAGAGUGGGAUCAAUCAAGGUCGAGACUUUUUUAGGUAAGAGUAAUUGUGAAAGUUAUGUUUUUACCAUUUUUUAGGUAAAUUUUAUGACUUGGUGGAUCUAGAAUUUUGGUUAUAUUACAUAUAUUUGUAAAGAAAACAGUUGAACUGCAUGAAGCUUGAUGUAAUUCUGCUUUUAAUCAAUGUUGGACUUGGGAACCCUAGUGAAUAUAGAAGUGAAUCUACGAUUAGUUGAGAAACUUAAGGGAGCUUGACGGGUAAUGAGGGUUUAUGUAUUUAGUGACAUUCAGGCAAUGCUUGAUGUCUAUUUGAUGUCGGCAUAUUGGAAAUGCUUGAACAAAGAAGAAGGGUGCUUGAAGAGCUGCAAGUAGUGAACUACUUGGCUUGAUUAGAUUGCUAUGUUAACCAAAAUGUACCCUGUAAUAUGUUACAGGGUUAAAGUUUUACAGUAGUGUUCUUUAGCGAUUUAGUUUCAAAAUUUUCGUUCGACUUUCCUUGCUCUGUGAGGUCAAUGUUAGAAUGAUUAUGGAAAAAUGAAAUUGUUUGUCCUAGUAUCUCUGGUAAGAGCGGGUAUGCGUUCUUCAAGGACUUGUUUGUCAUUCUUUAAAGCUGUUUAAUGUGCUCAUUUCAGUAUGUGUCAUCCAAAGUCUAUAACUGCUAAAAGUAGCACUACAAGGCCGAGGGAGCUAUCAUCUGUAUGGAAAUAAGAGCUAUAGACAUGCCCCAUAAGGGUCAAUAGGUCUCAGCUGCACAUCUAAGUAUCUAACUUGUUUCUCAUCUGUUUUCAUCCUGAAGGUUAGAAAAGAUGGGUGCUCUAGACGUUCAGAGAGUGGUUCAUCGACACCAGGGAUGGCGGCUGAUCUCAUGUAUGUGGUUACAUGCUGGAGUUUUCCAUGUGCUUGCCAAUAUGCUGAGUCUUGUAUUCAUUGGAAUUCGGCUUGAGCAAGAAUUUGGUUUUGGUAUGCAUCUGGAUUUUUGGCUUCAUGUAUGUUAUCAUGCAUGUAUAGCCACAUCCAUAAAUGUUUGCAGUAAAAGAUAAAGCACACAACAUAAAUUGUAGAAUAAUAAAUUAGUUACCAAGUGCAAAACUUCUUUCAUAAAUCUAGAAGAGACACUUUCCGGAUGGUUUCAUCUACCUUGCGAUUAAUCUACAGAGGAUUUCUCUGCAUUUGUUUAUUGAAUUGUAAUCCUAGAGUAGUGGUCAUGUAGUGCUGGUUGCAUUAUAACUUUCACCAGUAUGUUGCUAGGUUUGAUGGAAACAAGAGGACGUUUUAUUCAGCGGUGAGCAAAGAAAAGAGUUUAUACACCGAAGAUGGGGUUCAAACUUUAGUUUUAGACAUAGUAUUUCAUUUUAUAGAAUAAAAUUGCUUGAAACAAAAGCUGAGAGAUUAUUUCAGUUUUCCAUCACAUCUGUGGGAACAAGGAUUGUUUUGGAUAUCCAGUACAUGUAGACAUGGUUCCUCAUUUUGAAAUGUUUCAAGAUGCCGUCUAUUUGAAAAGAUUGAAAAAAUAAUAGUUUGAUGCUGAUCUACAUCAUGUACGGUUGUUUUGAUGAACUGUUUUAACUAAUUGGUUUGAAAUUCUAAUUUUUUUUUUAUUUGUUCUUCGGCAGUUCGAAUUGGUUUCCUAUAUUCUCAUGUCUGGUUUUGGUGGGAGUUUGCUUUCAGCUCUUUUUAUUCAAUAUGGUAUUUCUGUUGGUGCUUCUGGUGCACUUUUUGGUUUACUCGGAAGCAUGCUUUCAGAGCUCAUAUCAAAUUGGACAAUGUAUGUAAAUAAGGUAAAUAAAGUUUCUGUAUACUCAACGAUGCACCUCUUUAUAGUAUGUGCACGACCCUUUGAUCUUACAGUUUCAGAUUUCAAUCCGCAGUUGGCAGCAUUGCUUACUUUCCUUUUCAUCAUCAUAAUAAACUUAGCAGUGGGAAUUCUACCACACGUGGACAACUUUGCUCAUAUUGGAGGAUUUGUCUCCGGAUUUCUUCUUGGAUUUUUUUUUCAUUUUGAACCAAAUGUUACAAAUUUCAAUCAAUGCUCUCGAGUCUUGAACCAAAUGUUUUUUCAUUUUGGAUGAUUGCCAAAUGUUUCCAGAGAGCUUCUGAAGUCAAGGUGCUUUAAGGGUCUUGGUCCUUGGCGUACCGAAAAUGCCAGACAAUAGGGCCCAGUAGUGGAAGUAAGCUAGUGAAGUCGUCUAAAAAAACAAGCCAAAGUUGUUCCUCCUAUGAUCCUAUCCUUGCUUUUCAGUGCAGUGUUCGUUUGCUGUAGGAGCUCCCUGCAGUCGGGACUCGGAGGGAAUGCGACGGAUAGGCUGGCGCUGCUUGCCAUCAAAGCUCAAAUAAAGCAAGAUCUCCAUAAUUACAACGUGAUGAGCUCCUGGAACGAAUCCACGCACUUUUGCAUGUGGAAUGGUGUGACGUGCAGUCGACGACAUCGUCAAAGGGUCACUACCCUAGACCUGCAAUCUCAAAAUCUGGUAGGGAAACUAUCCCCAAACAUUGGAAAUCUAAGUUUUC